This 51543-nucleotide long non-coding RNA is filed under the name Hordeum vulgare. RNAcentral's name for it is "long non-coding RNA (HVUL_LNC007531)". Lineage: Eukaryota; Viridiplantae; Streptophyta; Magnoliopsida; Poales; Poaceae. The record is from RNAcentral.
CGCGUGUUGCCUGUGGCUGACGCUGGUGUUGGUGGGGCUGGUGUUCCUUGGAGCAAUCGCGUUGGGGGUGUUCUACGUGAUUUACCACCCGGAGCUUCCGACCUUCGCCGUGACGUCGCUCCGUCUGGCGGCGCUGAACGUCUCGGACUCCGACUCCGUCACCUCCCGCAUCGAGUUCACGGUGACCGCGCGCAACCCCAACGAGAAGAUCGCGUUCGUGUACGGCGACAUCGGGGCUGCCUUCGCGGCCGACGGCACGGACAUCGGGGACGGCACCGUGCCGGGUUUCGUCCAUCCAAGUCGCAACACGACGGUCAUCAAGGGGGCGGCUUCGGCGGCCGCCGCGACGGUGGACCCUGUGCAGGCGGCCAGUCUCAGAUCCAAGAAGUCUCACGCGAUGUCAGUGGAGAUGGACUCCAAGGUGGGGUUCCAGAUCGGGAAGUUCAAGUCGAAGCGCAUCAACGUCCGUGUGCUGUGCAGCGGCUUCAGCGCGGGGCUGGCCAAGCCGGCGCCCUCCCCGGCGCCGAUCAUCGUGGCCGCGGCGCCUGCACCCACCCGGUCUAAGAUCAGGCUGUCGUCGUCUUCCUCCGGAGGCGGCGGGGCGGCGACGACGGACGCAAAGUGUAAGCUGCGCGUCAAGAUCUGGAUUUGGACGUUUUGAUGCAUUUGUGGGUAGGGAGAGGAGGGAUUUUUCUUGGUUUGGUUUAACCUUUUUCACACUGUAUGUGGAUUUAUUGGAGUAUAGUUUAUAUGAUUCUAUCUUCCUCCUGGUUGCUGCUUGCUACUCUCAUCCAUCCAUCCUUUUGUCACAAGCUAAGUAGGCCGCAUAGAUCUAUGCUAUGCUACAGAUGGGCAUAAUUCUGCAAGAACGGUACGUACUAGUGACCACACCACACCACACCACAGUGAAACCGGCAGCUGAGAAGAAAUGGAAGGAGGCGAACUGCAGUAGGCGAGCGAUUCGGCGCACGCGCGUCGGUGGCGUCAACACAAGCUAUCUCCAGCUCGAUUUCCUUUUCGGUUUCUCUCCCUCCCGUUUCCUCAAUCUAUCUUCUCCUCUCAUCCGGGGCACAGCUGUACCAUGGCUGGCAGCCGACGCCGACGCCGACGUGCGGGCCCAUCGGUUUCCGGGACAGCAUGUAAGUGAACUGUGGAUAGGCGGCUGGGCCUGGAAAGAAAAGAAAAGAAAAUGCCGUUGAGUUGUGCGUGGCGAGGCGGUAUGACGUGUGUCGGGGAAAGGAUGAGGGAGAGAGAAAGGGUGGACGUCACUCUCGCUCCAGUCCAGUGGCUCGGCUCGGCUCUCCGAGUCCUAGGUGAACAGUGACCGCCGCUGAGUGCUCGUAGUGGCGGUACAAUCUUCUUUUUUAGUGGACGUGGCGGUACAAUCCGAGAGUGAAGAGAUCAUUUUUUUGUUUCGAGAAUGGAGAGAAGGGACGGAUGAUUAGUCAGUGAGAAUUGCUAAGCGCAGUGGAGCACGUGAGGUGUCAAGGUUGGGUACGCGACCACACACAGAUUUGCUAAGCCACAUGACUCGCAUACGCCAUACAUAACGGUCACAUAAUCAUCUCUCUAGUUUCCUAAACUUGGAACGCGUCAUUCCCACGAGGUGACUGCUUAAAAUCAGCACGGUUUUAUGCAACGGAACAAGCGGGAAGAUUGUAUGGCAUGUGCAGUACUCCCUCCUUUCAUUACUACCAAUAUAAGAUGUUCUGUUUUUUCUUCUUUUAAUCAGAUGUUUAUAGUUUGUUUGCUCAUUCAUUUUAAUUUCUAUGUAGUUCAUAUUGAAAUAUUCUAAACAUCUUAUCUACAUCUAAACCUACUAAUAAAAGAAAUUGGUUUUUUAGUCUGUCCUAUUAUUUUAUAGGAAACCUUCGAUGUUUUUAACAUUUAAUCCGUAAUACAUAUCAAUUGUUUUUACAAUACUCAUAUCUUUUAAACUGUAACUUCAAAUUUAACAUGUUAUAUAUGAAAUUUUCAUAGAAAAACAUGUAGAAUAUAAAAAUAAUGUUAUUUUACCUAUUAACCAUUUAAAAUACUAUCUAGGGUGCAAUAUUAAUUAAUAAUGCAUUAUUCGUCUUUCUUUUAUAUGGAUACUUAUUCGGAUUGGGGAUAAACAUCUCAGCAACAUCAAGAUUGAAGACGAAAUUAAAGAUCACUUGCUCGUUCUUUUUACGUAUUAAAUCUACAUGCAAGCCGUGUUGAACUAGAAAACCUGUGGAAUUUUGAACUGUCCUUUUUCUAGGUUAAGACCAUCUUUGUUUGAACCGUAGCUACAAAUUCUCAGAUUAUAGAUACUUUUUCUAAAUAAAGAGCAUGAGAUGAUUUUUUUCCUAUUGCAACGCACGAGCCCUUUUAUUAGUUAUUUGUAAUGGAGGUAGGAUUUGUUUGGGCUCUCCUAUCUUGAAUAUGCCAUGUAAUCUAGAGAAAAUAGCGAAAAGUCAUAUCGAGUGAGUUUCUUUUUCUGAGGGGAAAAAACCGCAUAUAUUAGACCAGAUACAAUCACUAUUAAAUAAAGGAACAAUAAGUGGAGGCACACUCGCCGACAAGACGAAAUCACCCUGCAAUCUGGCCAUCGAAGUUCUGGGGUAGAGAGAUUGUUCCUACGUCCGACUUUACAUGGGAAUCUCGUCACCGCUUGGUGCCGUUUUUUCGCGUUGCUUGCCCUCAUGGGGGUUGUCCAUUAGGGGUAGGGCCAUGGAUCUUCUAUCUAGGGUCCAUCUAGGGCUCCACACGGUCACUAAAGUCCCAGAGCUACUGAUGCAGUCUAAGUCUCACUCGGACACACAGAGUCAUUCGGACCAUCUUCGAUCAGUCGGACAUUCAUCAAAACUCGGACUAAGAUGAAGCGCAGACGUUGAAAGGACCGCAAUGACCAGAGACUUAAUCUCGCACAUAAAGCUGAGAGCACAAUUGCUCCCUAAGGUGGUUUUGAUAAUUGAUCACAACAUAUGCAUCAUUGGACUAAUGAGCUUACCCAAGUAUAUUUUUAGAAAAUUUCGAAGAUGCCUUGGCUAAAGGAUUAUGAGGAGAAACCCUUUGAGGAAGGAAGGAAUAGGAUUGGCUCAAGCUUCAAGCAAGAGGACUCUAUAUUUUAACACUUUGAGUCAAUAGGAAUGCUAAUACUAUUAAAAGGGGGUGAAGUAUUAUGAUGAAUUGGUUGCUCAAGUGCUUAGGGGUAGCCACCAAAAAUAUUAACUCAUUCUCCCACAAAAUCUCUCUCUCCAAAGCUAAACUAGCAAAAUCAGUGCCACCAAUAUUUUCCACUUGGCCCUACCGAUUUUCCACCACACAAAUCCUUUGCCAAACCCUAAUCUCUCGGUACCAGCAACUUUCAUAUCGGUGCCACCGAGAUUCAGUGAUCAACUUUCUGUUCAGAAAAUUCCAAGAAUCUGAAUUUCUGAGAUUGGAAUCUGUCUCACCGAGAUUUGGAAACUGGUCUAGGUCAUCGUAUCGGUACCACCGAGAUUUAUAUAUCAGUCUCAUCGAAAAUUCAAAUUUGCCACAUUUAGUGCAACUCGGUACCACCAAGAUUAUUUUCGGUGUCACCGAGUUGGGCAAUAAUGUUGUAACGGUUGGAUUUUGGGAGAUAACUAUAUAUACCCCAUCCACCUCCUCUCAUUCGCAGAGGAAGCACUCAGAACACCCACCCACUUGCGAGAUCCAUAUUUCUGAGAGAGAGCCACCUACUCAUGUGUUGAGAUUAACAGAUUCCAAUCCAACCAUUUGAAACUUGAUCUCUAGCUUCCCCAAGUUGCUUUCACAAGAUCAAUCUCUCCUACCCCUGCCAAAUCUGUGAGAGAGUGAUUGAGUGUUGAGGAGACCAUCUUUUGAAGCACAAGAGCUAGGAGUUCAUCGUUAUCCCACAUCUAUUACAUUUUGGGGGGGUGGUGGCUCCUAGAUUGGUUAGGUGUUGCUUGGGAGCCUCCUACUUCGUGUUGUGAAGUUGAACCAAGAAGUUUGUAAGGGCAAGGAGAUCGCCUACUUCGUGAAGAUCUAUCGUGAGUGAGACUAGUCCUGUGUGGACGGAAGGCAUGGUGGAAUAGACAAGGUCGCUUCUUCGUGGACCCCUUGUGGGUGGACCCCUCGGUGCACUCUCGCUGCCGUUACCCUCCGUGGGUUGAAGUCUCCACUAACGUGGACGUACGAUAGCACCACCUAUCGGAACCAUGCCAAAAAUCACCAUGUCAACCUUUGCGUUUGAUCUCCCUACCUUACCCUCUACAUUACAUUUGCAUAUCUUUACUUUCCGCUGCUAUACUCUUAGAUAUGCAUGUGUAGGGUGAACUUGACUAGUCAUAAUUGCUAAAACUGGCCCACAACUAAAUUGGGAAGGCUAAGUUUUUAUCUUGUCAAGUGGUCUAAUCACCCCCCUUCUAGACAUACUUUCGAUUCUACAAGUGGUAUCAAAGCUUUUGUCUCCAUUGCAUUGGUUUCACAAUCUAGGAGAGUGGCGUAUAGUGAGGGAAUUAUCACCGUAGAGGUCCAUAUUUCAAUGGUACAAACUUCGCUAGUUGGAAGCAUACGAUGAAAAUGCAUAUUCUUGGUCAUAAUCCUGCCGUUUGGGAUGUUGUUCAUGUUGGUGUGCAAGGUGAUUUCUUCAGAGAAGGAAGAGAAAUGGACCAUGAUGCGACAACGGAUGAGUUGAAGAUGUUGCAAUACAAUGCUCAAGCCCGUGACAUCCUGUUCGACUGUUUGUGCCCCGAAUAAUUCACCAAAAUCAGCCGCCUUGAGAAUGCAAAGGAAAUUUGGGAUAUCUUGAUUGAUGGGGGAAAAAACUUUUUCUUGAUUGAUAUGCUCAAACAUCCAAGAGUAACAAGAAGGCCCUCCCCACACUUCCACCAAGAAAAAGUUGUUCCGCCCAUGAAUCCCCCGCGGAUCUUGUUACUCUUGGGUGUUUGAGCACCCUAGAUGGAAGACGUCACCUCGAAGCCACAUUCCAUUGUGGUGAAGCUUUGUGGUCUUGUUGGGAGCCUCCAGUUAAGUUAUGCAGAUUGCCCCAUCCUUGUUUGUAAAGGUUCGGUCGUCGCCUUCAAGGGCAGCACUUAGUGGAAUCAUGGCACCUCGCAUUGUGUGAGGGGGUGAGGAGAACACGGUGGCCUUAGUGGCAUCUUGGGGAGUAUUGUGCCUCCACACCGCUCUAACGGAGACGUACUUCCCCUCAAAGGGAAGGAACUUCAGAAACACAUCCUCGUCUUCAUCGGUUCCACUUGUGGUUAUUUCUUACCUUUACUUGGAUUUACUUCUUGCUUAUUAUAGUUGUUGUUAGCAUCAUAUAUGUUGCUCACUUAGUUGCAUAUCUAGACAACCUAUUUGUUGCUAAAUCUAAUUUGUUUAAAGAAAAGCUUAAAAUUUCUUAGUUGCCUAUUCACCCCCUCUUGUCAACCAUACAGGUCCUUUCAAUUGGUAUCAGAGCCUCGUCUCUUUAUUAAGGGUUUCACCACCCAAAGAGUAUGGUUGACGAUGGGGACCAGGCUGGGGAGGUGCCAGAGGGAGCUGCUGCAAACUCAGUCACCAGAGAGGAAUUAAAUCAUGUCAUGUCCACAUUUAAAUCCUUAGUGGCUAUUGAAGUCAAGAACAUGCUUAAGGAUUUCCUUGAUAUUUACAAACCGCCUACCGAACUGUUGUUGGUGGCUAAUCCCACAAUUUCGGAUACGAGGGGCAAUGAAGAAAAGGAAAAUGCUGGUAGUGAAAAGGAUAAAAUGCCUCAAGGAACGAGUGCGACAAAUGCCUUUGCCUCAGUUCCUCCUCCCAUGGUCUAUGGAGGACCGGUCCACCCACCGCAUAUUAUUAAUCUAGGUCCUCCACCAAAGCUUGUUAAGAAUGAUUUUGCUAACUGGGUUUUUUGUAUCAAGUCUCAUUUUAAACACAACUCAACACAACUUUGGAGAAUCAUUGAGUAGGGGUACUACCCGCAUGAUACAAGAAAUCUCAUGUCAAGAGAAGAGGCCGACAAUCAGCUCAAUCACUCCGCCUUGUUCAUUCUUCAAGCGGUCGUACCUGUUGAAUACCUUCCUCACUUGCGUCCCUUCACUCGUGCCAAAGAUUGUUGGGAGCACAUCAUCUCCAUGUAUAAGGGAAGCUCUAGCAUUUAACGGUCCAACUAUGAAGUGGUUCUUGAUUAGGCCGAUGAAUUUGCUAUGAUCGAGGAUGAGGACCCUCGUGAGCUAUAUCGAAGAGUUACAACUCUUGCUGUUGCUCUUCAGGAUCAUGGAAGUAAAGAUGUGGAUGCCACUUGGAUGAAUCGUAACUUUCUCAAGGCCAUCAUGCCUUUCAACAAGUCCAUGUUCUCCGUCAUCUGUCAAAGUUCGGACUUUCAUUCCUUGUCCUCAAGCGAUGUGUUGGAUGAGUUUAUUGCCAUGAACAUUUUGAACAAGACCGUUGAAAAUGCUCUAAUCCGAGUUCAACGGUCAAGGAAAGACUCCCCCAACCUUGCUUUGAAGGCCAAGGUUGCUUUGGAGGAAGAUGAGGAAGACAAAGAAGAAACUUGUCCUGAAGACACCAAGUAUUCUUACCAGGAGCACAUGGCUCUUGCAUCAAGGUAGUUUUGGGGCGACAAGAAAAACUCAAGGCCCAACUUCUCUAAGAACAACUCAAAUGGGUCCAAGGUAAAGCAACGCGUGAGAACUUGUUACAAUUAUGGCCAUGUGAGUCAUUUUUUGGCGGAUUGUCCCUAUGAGCAGAGGGAAGACAAUGGUGGCAACCUCAUUCGUAAAGACAAGACCAAGUCCUUCCCAAACAAGAAGAACUUCCCCAAAAAGAUGCCCCAAAAGGUGUUGGUGGCUCAAGAAGAGUACCUCUCCGACGAGGAUGAUGACGACGAGCAAGUGGUGAAGCAAUGGGAAUGGCCACUAUGGCCAUUGCAUCCUCUUCUCCAAGCAAGGCGUUUCUCUUCAAGGCCCCCAACGAGAACCGCAUUGCCAUGUGCCUGAUGGCCAAGCCAUCCAACAAGGUAACCUCUAACACUCAAACUACCAACAUCAAAGCUACCAUUUCCACUACCAUGGAUAGCGGAGAUGAAAAGGAAGAGCUAGAGGAGGAGGAAAACUCCUUUCGUAAAUUCAUGAGAAAACUCAAGGGUAAAUCCAAGAAGCAUUUUGUUGCUCUCUUGGAACAACUCAGAGAGGCUAAUGACCUCACUGAAUCUCAUGAAGAUACUAUCUCUACAUUACAAGCUCAUAGUCGUGACUAUGCCAAUGAGAUUGCGGAUUUUUCCAUUGCUCUUGAAAAAGAGCAAGGACUUCGUUUGACUCUUGAGGAGUCACAUAAUGAUGACCUUGCUAAGUUAAAGAAAGAUCUUGAUCAUGCUCUUGCUCUUACCCGCGUGCUUCAAUCCGAAAAGAGUGCACUUGGGCUUGAUCAUGUUAGACUCAAGAAAGAGCUUGCAAAACUUGACAAGGCUCACAAGGCCUUGAAGAGUGCUCAUGUCUCUUUAAAAGAGUCUCAUGCUCAAUUCCAAGUAAAACUCACUAAGGAAAUAGCCGCUUGCUCUCCGUUUGUUUUAAUUGAUAAUGUCCAUGCUACUAACCCCUGUUAUGAGCAUGCUCAUCUUGUGGAGAAGAAUUUCAAAUUAAAAGAGCACCUUGAGAAAGUCCUUGUGACAUGCAUCCAAGGUGAAAAGACUCAUAAUGACCUUUUGAGCAUUCAAAAGUAGUGGUUGCAAUGGAAGGAGAUGGGUUUGCACCCAAGUCCAAGAAGAACAACAUGAUGAAGAAGAUCAGGCAACCCUCCCAGCUUAUGGAAACCUUUGUUAAAUCUGGGGAGGGUACUCAUGAGAAGGACAAGGACCAAAAUAAGCGUGCUAAUGCCAUGAAGGGCAAUACCCCUCUGCCCAACACACCUCGUGAUGUUAACCCCUCUUAUGUUUUGUGUCAUGCGAGUGAUAGGAAUGUUUUUGCUAAGUUUGUUGGUUCCUAUGAUGAGUACAUUGAAUGGUCUAUUUGGGUUUCUAAGACCCUUGUUACUAACCUCAAAGGACCCAUUAAAAAAAUGGGUACCUAAAUCCAAGCAUUGAUCUUAUGUAGGAGUUUCCUUCUGGUGGGGUGUCCUGGUUGCUUGAUAGUGGAGCAACAAAUCAUAUGACCGGUAGCAAGGACUUUGUGGUGGACGUUCAUACCGAAACAUCUAUUCCCACCAAGUCUCCUUUGGUGAUGAUGUGAUUUCAAAGGUAUUGGGUCUCGGCAAGGUGGUAAUUUCUACGGAACUUACCAUUGAAAAGGUUAUGCUUGUUGAGACCCUCGCAUACAAUUUACUUUCCAUUCAUCGACUUGCACUUAUGGGCUUUAGUACUUUCUUUGGCAUUGACUAUGUGGCCCUUUUGUGGCGCAAGACUCUUGAAGUAGCCUUUGUUGGACAUAUCGAGAACAGUCUCUAUGUGGUUAACUUUUCGGAGCGACCCACUAAGACCGCGACUUGCCUAAUGGCUAAAGUUGAUGUGGGGUUGCUUUGGCAUCGCUGGCUAGCCCAUGUCAAUAUGAGAUCUUUGCAAAGUCUCCUCAAAGAGGAUCACGUUCUCGGACUAACAAAUGUGAGUUUCGCGGGAGAUCGUGCUUGCAGUGUGUGUAUUAUUGGAAAGAUUCAUGAGAUAGCUCACCGCCCCACGACUAUCAUCUACACAAAAGGACCUUGGAGCUCCUCCACAUUGAUCUCUUUGGACGUCCAUCCUAUGAUAGUCUUGGGGGGGGGGAGAAAGUAUUGCUUCGUCAUAUUGGAUGAUUACUCAAGAUAUACGUGCGUAUACUUUUUCAAGAAAAAGAGUGAGACUCAACAAACUGUCAUCGACUUUGCUAAUGAAGCUCAACGCCAACAUAAUGCAAAGAUAUUGAUGAUUAGAAGUGACAAUGGUACCGAGUUCAAGAACUACACCCUAACUGAAUUUCUGAGUGAUGAAGGAAUCAAGCAUCAAUAUUCUACACCUUACACUCCUCAACAAAAUGGUGUGGCAGAAAGGAAGAACCGGACGUUGAUGGAUGCGGCAUGAACCAUGAUGGCGGAAUAUAAAUCUCCGUAUAACUUUUGGGCUGAAUCCAUCAACACCACAUGUCAUGCAUCCAAUCGCCCCUACGUCAUGCAUCCAAUCGCCCCUACCUUCGCAAAGGCUUGAACAAGACUCCAUAUGAAAAUUCUUAAUGGCAACAAGCCCAACCUCAAGUACUUCCGGGUGUUUGGCUGUAAGUGUUUCAUUCUUAAGAAAGGUCCUCGAUUGUCUAAAUUUGAAGCUAGAUCUCAAGAGGGCAUAUUUGUUGGUUAUGCUACAAACUCUUGCGCUUACCUUGUCCUCAAUAAGUCCUCAUGACUCAUUGAAAAGACGUGUAACAUGGAGUUUGAUGAGAAUAAUGGCUACCAAGUGGAGCAAAGUGGUCUUUGUGAUGUAGGUGACGAAAUUUCUCCCCAAGCCAUAAGAAGAAUGGGUGUGGGACACUUCCUGCCCGUGAAGGAACCCCUUGUGUCUGAAGGAGAAGGACAAUGUUCCACUCAUGUGGAACUAUCACACACGCUUUCGAAGAACGCUGUGAAGGCCCUCAUCCCCGUGAUCCCGAUGAAGGAAAAUAUCAACCUCAAGAUGGUCCUGCACCAAAUGAUGUCCUUGAUCCAGCUCACCCCUCCGAGGAUGCUCAAGAUCAAGAGGAGGCACCAAGUUCAAGAUCAAGAGCAAGUGCAAGAACAAACUCAAGCUCAAGAUCAAGGACAAACUCAAAUAGGCGGUAAAGGUCUCAAACAGGCUCCUCAGCUCACCCCUGAGGAGAUUCAAGAAAGACAUGCUGCCAAGACUGCCAAAACGCUCAAAAAUAAUUCUCAUGUGCUGCAGAAUGUCUACGGCAGCUUAUAGAGAGGGGUAACCACACGUCAUCAAUUAUCAAACUUUAGUGCCCAUCAUGCGUUUGUUUCUUGCAUUGAACCACGAAAGGUACAAGAGGCUCUUGGAGACAUGGAUUGGGUUGAAGACAUGCAUGAAGAACUCAACAACUUCGAGCACAACAAAGUGUGGCGACCGGUGCCGAGACCAAAGGAGAACCACAAUGCCAUUGGGCCAAACUGGAUCUUUAAGAACAAGCAAGAUGUGAAUGGUGCCGUCACUCGGAACAAGGCAAGAUUGGUAGCACAAGGCUACUCCCAAGUCGAGGGUAUCAACUACGGUGAAACCUUUGCUCCUGUCGCUCACCUUGAAUCUAUUCGCAUGUUGCUUGCAUUUGCUUCUCAUCAUAACUUAAAAUUAUAACAAAUGGAUGUGCAGUGUGCAUUUCUUAAUGGUCCCCUUAAGGAGUUGGUUUAUGUCAAACAAUCCCCGAGGUUUGAGGAUCCCAAGUUCCCUAAUCAUGUGUAUGUUCUUGAUAAGGCACUCUAUGGCCUUAAACAAGCCCCACGUGCGCGGUAUGAGCACCUUACGGAGAUGUUACAUGACCGUGGUUUUGAAGUUGGGAAAAUUGAUCCCACUCUUUUUACUAAGAAGGUCAAGGGGAGUUUGUUCAUAUGCCAACUAUAUGUUGAUGAUAUUAUCUUUGGUUCCCCUAACAAAGCUUUUAAUGAAGAAUUUGUUGCUCUAAUGACUAAAGAGUUUGAGAUGUCUAUGAUAGGAGAUUUGAAGUUUUUUCCUUGGGUUCGAAGUCAAGGAACCUUCAUCAAUCAAGCCAAAUACACUCAAGACAUGCUCAAAAGGUUCAAGAUGGAUGAUCUCAAACUAGCCAAGGCCAACACUCUCAUGCCUCUCAACUGCCAUCUUGACCUCGAUACGAAUGGUAAAGGUGUGGAUCAAAAGGUAUAUCGCUCUAUGAUUGGCUCUCUUCUUUACCUUUGUGAAUCUAGACCGGAUAUUAUGUUGAGUGUCGGAAUUUGUGCACAAUUUAAAUCUGCACCUAAGAAAAGUCACUAUGUGGCGGUCAAGCGAAUCUUUCGAUAUUUCGCUCAUACCCCAAACUUUGGCUUAUCGUAUCCCAAAGGGGCUUCAUUUGAUCUCAUAGGAUAUUCGGAUUCGGAUUGAACGGGACACCGUGUGGAUAGGAAGUCAACUUCCGGAGAUUGCCAAUUCCUUGGUCGCUCUCUGGUAAGUUGGUCUUCCAAGAAACAAAUUUGCAUUUCUCUCUCGUCCAUCGAGACUGAAUAUGUUGCUGCUGCAAGGUGUGCUCAGUUGCUUUGGAUGAGGAGAACUUUAAAGGAUUACGGUGUCACUUGUGACAAAAUGCCUCUUUAUUGUGAUAAUAUUAGUGCUAUCUCAAUAUCCAACAACCCGAUUCAACAUUGCAAGGCGAAGCACAUCAGUAUUCGUCACCACUUCAUUCGGGAGCAUAUCAAGCGCGGGGAGAUUGACCUCAUUUACCUCAACACUAAUGAUCAACUUGCAGAUAUCUUCAUGAAGCCUUUAAAUGAAGCAAGAUUUCGUGAGUUAAGGCAUGAGCUGAAUAUCAUUGAUUUGAGCAAUGUGGAUUGAAAUUAGGCACACCCCACCACUCUCAUCAUUUUGUUUUGUGUAGAUGUAGGCAUGAAUUUAGGGGGAGUGUUGUUCUCUUAAUGAACUCUCCCUCCCCCUAUUAUGCAUAAAUCGAUCAAUUAUUUCACAUUAGUCACUCAUGUGAUACAUGUGCUUCAAAGACGAAUUUUGGUCAUGGGUCCAAGCUUAAAAUCUUCACGGUGCCAUACCAACUGACUCAAACAUAGGUGGCCUCGGCCACCGCCCCUCUUCCACACAAGUUCUUUCCAUUAAUUGCAUGAACGGUCACUCCACAAUGGGCUCUACUUCUCAUUUUGCAUUCUUUUAAAAGUGGAGUACCUUCUUUAUUUUUGUGCCUUUAUUCUCUCCUCUGCAUGGUCAAAUAGAUCCCCAUCUUUUAAGGUGCCUGUUGCUUGGGUCAUAGGUGGUACUACCGUACUGAUCGGUGGUACUACCACUCCAGCGGUACUACCAUGCUCAUGGGCGGUACUACCGCCUCGGGGAAUUUAUGGGGUGUUAAGAUUGGGGUAGGGGGAGUUCUAACUCCCCCAUACCCAUUCCCUCCCUAUCCCCAUGCCUCUCCCUCUCUGUGGCGGCCAGGAACAUCACCAGAGGCCGGCUCCGGAUUCCUCUAUCCGUGCCGCCCUCCACUUUUUCAUCCGGAGGGAUCUCCCCCCUCAUCUCCCUCGUGCCAUGGAACCCGAUACUGCCCUGGAUCCCCAUCUCUCUCGUGGUAUUUUUGUUGGAUCUUGAUCUAGGGCAAUGCGUGUGUAUUCCUUGUUUAGUUUGUUUUUCCAUGGCCUGCGUAGGAUGUCUAGAUGAUCUUGUGUUGCAAUAAUUUUGGUACUUGCACUAGAGAUUUGUCGGAUGGAGAGAUCCGACACUGCCGCAUCCAUUGACAAUAGUUGCCCAGGACGGUACUACCGCUCAUGCAUGACCGAUACUACCGCUUCGGUGGAAGUACCGCUCUUGCACAACGGUACUACCGCUGCAGCAGAAGUACCGCUCUUGCACAUCGGUACUACCUCCCUGGCACGUGCACCCCUUUUCUUUCCUCCAUCCGCCGAUCCCUGUAUGGUUUCCUAUUUUACUUUUGGAGUCAGUUUAUACUUGUUUUCUUGUCAUUCUCCUUGUGAGUACCACGUGAUGGCUCUGGUCCUAUGACUUGUCGCAUGAACCCCAAGCAUGGCUCCAAGCACCCACGUGCAUCUGAGGAGGUAGCUGCUAAUUCGAGUGCGCAACCACAAAAGCAGCAUGUGAGGAGGACAGGUACUAAGAAGAAGGCCCCCAAAGAACCCCAAGAGUUGCCUCAAGAAGAGUUUGCUGUGUUGUGCAAGCAUAAUCCCUAUUUUCUGCCUCAGGAUGAAUCUCUUACAUGGCAUCCAUAUUGGAAGAAGGAUGUCAAGAGCAAUGAUAUGGGGCACAUGAUCUCUAAUCCCCAUACUUCUUAUUUUGCUGAAGCUUAUGCUCUCUAUGAGAAGUGGCGUCUUGGUCCUAUCAUCAAUUUCAAGAAGGACAUUGAAAGCAAGAUUGUGGCUCAAUUCUAUGCCACUAUUCCCUUCCAUGACGGUGAUGAAAGGCGCUUGACCUGGAUGACUGGUGCCCGUGUGUUACACUCUGAUUGGAAGACGUUUAUGAACUCUCUGGGCAUUGCUGACACGGGACUGGAUGAGCCCAUUGGCCCGAGGCCUCACACUGAGGGUAUUCCUACUAUUCACAAGUCCAAGCUCAUUCGUUACUCGAGGAUUGUGAAGACUGCCAAGGGUGACCGUACCGAGCUCAUGCCUUUUCUGGACAUCAUGCACAAGAUCUUUCGCAACUCUUUGUUUCCUCGUGUUGGGAACAAGGACCGGGUGCACUCCUGUCUUGUCAAUCUCCUUCUUUUCUGCCAGAAGGAGCGAGACCGCCAGUCCAAAUUGGAUGUUUCCCACAUUAUGUGGAUGGAGUUGAGGUCUGCUGUGUUUGACAAAAAGAAGGUGCACAUUUAUGCUCCGUAUGAGUUCAAGCUGAUUGAGGACACCUGGAAUGCUACCUUCCCUACUGAGCUAUUGGCUACCGAUCACAUGGUCACUCAUGGUCUGCUCAAGCUCCGUCUGAAGGACAAUUGGGGCAUUCCACGUGUUGUUCCAGAGAUUGCUGCUACUGACUCGGCUGGCGAUCAUGAGCCCGAUUAUGAGUUUGUUCCCGGAUAUGAUUCUAAACCUUCUUAGGCCUCAAAGCUUAGGAAGAAUAUGAAGGCUCUUUUGUGCUUCCAGGCGAAGGGUCAGUACAAGGCACAUGUCGAUGCCAAGAAAGCGCGCAGCCGUGACAAGAUGAUCAUGCGAAAGAUUGGACUUGAUGUCCAAAGCGCUUCAGAAGACAAGAUCACUGAUGAUGAGGACUGGAUAAAGGCCAACUGCCAGUGGACGGAGUCUAAGGAUGAGGUGUGUGGUGAGGAGGAGGUGUGGGCUGAGGAGGCGUGUGCUGCUUCAGAUGAGACCGAGAGAGAUGACAACGAGGACUACUAAGCUUCUCCCGUCUCUUCUUUUUGGUGUAUCAAUGCCAAAGGGGGAGAAAGUAUCUUAGUUUAAGAUGGAUUUGCCUUGCUGAGUCAUGAGUGUGUUUAUUUGCAUUUGUUUUCUCUAUCUCGUGAACUCGUUUAUUGCUUGCUAUGGUUUGCAUUUGCCCAAGACUUGUGUGAACUUAUGUGUGGUGUAAGACAUAUGCUACCCCAUCUAUCAUGUUAUGUCUUUGCCGCUGUGAUAUGCUUGCUUAUCUAUUUUACUCUAUUCCGUUCACGCAAGUAUAUAGCCUUGUCUAUAAAAUAUAGGGGGAGUAUUGAUCCUGGUGUGUGCUCUUCGCAUUCCAUAAGCAUAUUCAAAUAGAACACACGUCUAUAUUUUGUAUGUUUUGGGAUUGUCUAAGACUUCUUAGUUCAGUUUUUGGCAAAUCCCGUAUUGUCAUAAACCCACCAAAAAGGGGGAGAUUGUAAGAGCACAAUUUCUCGUAAGUUAUUUUGGUUGUUGAUGACAAUACCCUUUGCGGAAUAAUCGUGUGCGAUAUGCUUUCAGAGAAUUAUCAGGUGGCACAAGACAAUUAUACCCCCCUAGUAAGUGAAAGUGAAGACAAUGCUUAUCUAUUGAUUUAGGGUUGCUGGACUCAAGUCAUAGAUAAUCCCGUACUAUUAAGAGGGGAUCCGCGUUUGAAAAAAUUGGGUGGAACACUAUCUCUCAUUCUUGCUCCCCAUCCCUUUUUUGGAGCAAAGGAGUUGCCCUGCUAUAGUGCCCAUGAAUUUACAGAAGCGGUAGUACCACCCUCGUGAGCGAUAGUACCGAUCCAGUGGUAGUACCGCCCUCGUGAGCAGUAGUACCACUCCAGCGGUACUACCGCCCACCAGAGCCGGUCCCUCUUCCGCUUGUUUUUCUUUUCUGGUGUCGGGGGGCCUUUUUAUAUGGUGGAGCAGAAGUACCGCCCAGGGGGAGCGGUAGUACCGCUCUAGCGGUACUACCGCCCCAUUCUGUUGCGCCCACUUCCACUUAAUAUUUCUCUCUGGCUUCCUACCUCCCCUCAUUCUGGAUGAGCGGAAGCACCGCCCCUACUGGAUGCCCAGCGGAAGUACCGCCCUGGUGCACGGUACUACUGCUUAGUUGGGCCAGUAAGGGGCUGGUAACGGCCAUAUUCGCCCCACUAUAAAUAGGAGUCUUCUUCCUCGAGGAGAGCUUACCUUUUCCCUCUCCAGCUCCAUUGCUGCUCCAAAAGCUCAAACUAGCCCGAUAUCCCUGCCUAGCAAUCAACUCUUGUUGAUUCUCUAGGGUUUGGAGGAGAAGGCCCUCCCCCACACUUCCACCAAGAUAAAAGUUGUUUCCCCCAUUAAUCUCUCACGGAUCUUGUUACUCUUGGAUUUUUUAGCACCCUAGACGGAAGAGGUCACCUCGAAGCCACAUUCCAUUGUGAUGAAGCUUAGUGGUCUUGUUGGGAGCCUCCAACUAAGUUGUGGAGAUCUCCCAACCUUGUUUGUAAAGGUUCGGUCGCGGCCUUCAAGGGCACGACUUAGUGAAAUCACGACACUCUGCAUUGUGUGAGGGCAUGAGGAGAAUACGGUGGCCUUAGUGGCAUCUUUGGGAGCAUUGUGCCUCCACAGCACUCCAAUGGAGACGUACUUCCUCUCAAAGGUAAGGAACUUCAGAAACACAUCCUCGACUUCAUCGGUUCGACUUGUGGUUAUUUCUUACCUUUACUUGUAUUUACUUCUUGCUUGUUAUAGUUGUUGUUAGCAUCAUAUAGGUUGCUCACUUAGUUGCAUAUCUAGACAACCUAUUUGUUGCUAAAUCUAAUUAGUUUAAAGAAAAGCUUAAAUUUUGAUAGUUGCCUAUUCACCCCCUCUAGUCAACCAUAUCGAUCCUUUCACCUUGGAUGGAAGAUACGACACCGUGUGCACAUUAAUUUAAAUGAUGCCAAACUACAAGGAUAUCAAGGCAACUGAAGUCAUUGGAAGGAUUGUUGUUCAUGAAAUGUCACUCAAGGACAAAGAUGAGUUGCACAACAAGUCAAGCGGUGCUUACAAAGUUUCAAGUGAUGCCCCCGCUACUGCAAAUGAUAACCUUGUUACCAAUGAAGAGAUCAACCUCAUGGUCAUAAAAUCCAACAAGUUCUAAAAGAGUUGAAGCAAGGAGAGAAGCUCAAGUUCAAGAUAUGAUGAUAAGCGUUCAUCUAGUCAUGACCGAAACUGCUACAACUGUGGAAAGCCCGAACACUAUUCAAAUGAGUGCUCGGCUCCCCCACAAAAGAAGAAAGGAGUCACCUAGAAGACGAAGCUCAAGAUAUAAGUUAGCUCGCAGAGAGAGAAGGAGUAGAGAAGAUCAAUAUGAAGGAAGACAGCCUCGAAGAGGAAAGGAAUCAAAGAGGAAGGACAAGUACACCCACAUCAUCUCAAGAAGAAGACAUCAAGAUCUUGUUGGAUGGGUUUCCGGCUCCGAGUGUGACAACCAAUCUGAGAGAAGCUACCACUCCAACUCCGACUAUAGUCAAGAUGAAGGUGUUUCCAGUCUUGCACUGGUUUCCUCCAACUCCUAUGACUUAUUUGAUUCACCAAAUGAAGGGAUUGGAAACCGCUUCAUGGCAAAAGGCCUCAAGGUAUCACACCGUGAGUACUUUGACUUUGAUAGUGAUGAGGAUGACUUGUUAGAAGAUGAUGACUUGCUCCUUGAUAAGACUAGUGAUAACAUUGAAAAUGAACUUGAAAGUAAUCUUGCUAGUCAAGAGAAAUCAAAUGAUGAUGAUAAGAAAGAGAUUGAACGAAAAAUUAAAUAAUUAAACACUUUUAAGUUAGCUCAUGAAACUACUCUAGAAGAUCAUAAAGAUCUUGCAAGAACUCAUGAGAAGCUAUGCUUCGAGAAGCUAAAAUGAGAGCAAGAGCAUGAGUUUAUAAAAGCAAUCAAUGACGAUCUUUGAAAGAAGAGUUCUUAUCUAGACAAGCGAUUACUCUUGUGUACUUUUGUUCCACAAGUUGAACCUAAGAACACUAGUAACAAAGGCAAGAAAGUUUCUUCAUCUAGUUACAACAAUGCUAAAGUUAGUUCAAAUGAUGUUGUUGCUAGUAGCUCUCUUGAUUCCACUAAUGAUUAUCUUAGCCAAGUUACACUUGAGCAAGAAAACGAUUUAUUGAAAGGAAUUAUAUUGAUAGAGGUGUCUUCAAGAGUCUUGCCGGAAGUAAGCAAUUCGAGGAAAUUGUGCGCAAGCAAGGUGGACAUCGGAAGAAGCAAGGUGUUGGCUACUUCAAUGCCAACAGAGAUGUUUGCGAAGAAGGUCCAUAUCCCAUCCCGAAGUUCGUUCCUCAAGAGGAAAAGUACGAUCCUACUCUUCCCAAGGGAACAAGCUCUCAAGAUGACCUUCAACCACAAGGCACAAGGGCAAGGGAAAGCUUCAAGAGGAGAUUGACUCAUUUGAGGAAGAACCCCAAGCCAAGGUCGAGUGGAUUCCCAAGGACACUACUAGCACUACCUCAUCUAGUGCUACCACAACUCCAAGGAUCCCCAUCAAGUUGAUGUGGGUCCCCCAGAGGAAGAACUAGAAAGUUCUUGAGGGGUGAAUCCGCCAACGAAAUUCACUAUUAUUCAUUUUGGCAAGAACUAUAUGCAAUCAACUCCAACCAUAUGCAUUAGUUCAAGAAGUCACACAUUCCCACAAAGUUAACCAAAGGACAAGGUAACAAAUGCAUAUUUGGACAUCACCUCUCAUGUACUUCAUGCCAUGUGCAUAGAUAUUCUUGCAUAUGUUCCUUUUGCUUUGGGACUAACCCAUGUGGGUGAGAAGGGUAAUAAACAACGAGAAAUGCUCCCAACUCAAAGAUUAUCUUCAUCAACAAUGAGCACCCACAACUAUUUCACCUACUUGAAGUGUUCUACGACAAAACCCAAGGUUAGUUUAUCCCUCUUAGGGGAGAUGUCACAUCUAGGGGGAGCUUUACUCUAAGACUUGAGUAUAAGUGUCUCCUAAACGAUGUGAGCACUUUAAUGCUUUAUGUAAAAGUGGUAACCCUAGUUGUGCUUAAUCGGUGAGUAUAACCUAUGAUCAAGUAUUCUUACUUGGCUCCUGUCAUGGUUUUGUCACGACAGAUGUCCUCAUGAAUGGACUUAGAUGUGAGGCCAUCAUCGCAUUGUGGCGACUCAAAGGGGUUGAUUGGGGACGAGAGACACAUUUACCCAGGUUCGGCCACUCCAAUGGAGGUAAAAGCCUACAUCGUGCUUUUGUGUCUAUAUUGAUCAGGAUCUCGAUUACAAGGAUGCAUAAUCGUUAACCUAGCUCUCCAAAGUUUCUUACUUGAUCUUUCUGGAUCGAGGUCUCUCCUUUAUAUACAUGUAGAGGCCUCGAGUUUACAACCGAGUCCGGGUCAAAUAAACACCUGUGACUUACUAUAAUUCUAUCUUAUCUUACUUCCCAAGUUUAGGGAAACUCCUGGCGUCUUCUGCCUUCUGGGUCUUGAGUCGCCAUCUCGUGGUUUUGGGCCAUAUGGUGAUUUACUCGAAUAAUCUAUCGGCCCAUCUUCUUGUAUCUUCCUAUGAUUUGACCCGACCCUUUAAGGCAGGUUACAUCCUGGGGUUAUAUCCAUGACAUUAGGCCCCAGGUUGACUUGAACUUGUUCACGACAAGCUAUCCUAAUCAAAUAAUGAGCUGACCAUCCUUGCCUUUUAUCUCCUUCUUAGUUUCUUAAAUAUGUCGGCUCAUAGCUCUCGUUGUCUUAGCUAUCUUUCCUUCGUUGUGUUUCCGUGACUUCACUCACCAGAAUUUAAUGUCGUGUGGUGUCAUGUAGACCAGUUCCUGCAUGCAUUCCUAUCCCGAAAACCGAGGCGUCAUGCCUUCAGGAUUUUACUACGGCUCCUCUAUUCCCGUGCUUUGCAGUUGUCACUUCAGACAUUAUAAAUAUAGGUGGAGGCUCCCUCUUCUUCAGUUUUACCCCCUUCUUUUCAUCUUCUUGUUCUUCCUCUGGUUUGAGCACCCAGUCGUGCCAUUGUUGUUGCUUGCCAUUCACAACUGCCUCGUGUUGCAGCCAUUCCCUGUCCUCUCCCUGGUUUAUUUCACACGUCUUUUGGCAUCUCCUCCAAUCGACAAAGGUAUGUUGUUUCUAUUCCUCUAUAAAUCUUCUCCUCAGUUAUCUUCAAAGUUCUUCGGAGAACCCGAGGGUGCCACAUGUGUUCAUCGCCAUUGUGGCUAUUUGCAUGCUUCGAAUCUUUAUAAACAUGUUAUUGAACACAUUGGCUUCUUAUUCCUGCAUAGGAGGCUCAUAUCCUUUCUUAAGAACUUGCCACACAAACCACUGCCAUUUCCAUGUUCUAGGCUCAGUAAUUAUUUUUUUCCUUUCACAACCUUUUUCAGAUCCGUAGUUGUAGCAAUUUUGAUAGGAAACUGUUUCUCGUGUACUCAAGAGAAUCAGAAAGAAACUUUGUCUUGUCUAAGGUGCCUUUUAUUGUGGAUGUCUUGUAUAAAUGAUCUUAACGCGCCAUAUCUAAAUAUUGCUGGUUUUUGGGAACCGACUCAUGUUUUUGGCGACUCUAUUAUUAAGAUGUCCAUACUCUCUUAUCUUUGACCAUAACACGAAUGUUUUUGCAAUCUUGUGACUGACGUCCACGCGUAUCAUCAUGUCGAAGACUUCCAUUUGCAAUUGGGUGCCUUCACAAGUUUCAGAGGAUCUUCUCGAGGGCUAUGUAGACCAAGGCCUAUUAUCUUCCAUGGAAGUAAUCAGAUGGCGGUUCCUCAAGGGGAGACACACCCAAAGCCUAAUGAAGGAGAAGUUGUGGUUUUCAUAGAUCACCUUCUCACAGAUUUUUCUCCUCCCGGGUCAAAGUUCUUCUGGGAUGUACUCAACUUUCUUCACCUUCAUCCACAAGAUUUUCCCCCUAAUUCCAUACCAAUUUUAUGCCAAUUUCAAGUCUUAUGUGAGGUGUACUUGCAAAUUGAACCCACUGUUCCACUCUUUGUGGAAUUUUUUUAUCUGAAACGCUAGACUAAGUGCAUGGAUGGCCCCAUCCAAGAACUGGGAGGUAUUCCAAUUCAAAGACGCAGAAAUGGAGGCUUUCCUUCUGCUGCCCUGCCAAGUCAUCCCAAAGGGUGGAACAAAACUUUGUUCUAUUGUCAAAAUACCGGCCCAACAGACAAACAUCUCGUGCCAGGUUAUAUACUAAAUCGCCUUCUAGCCAAUUUUCAACUUCCCGACCAAAUUUCUCAAGAGGAACGUGACAAAUUCGCCUUUGUAUUCCAAAAUUGGCGACUCUCCGGUCUCAAGGUUUGACCGAAGUGGACUUGAAACAUUGCUGGGCAUCCUGGAUGAUCCUCCCACCGAGUUGUUGAAAUGCCCUUAUGUGCAAGUAUUUUAUUCGUGCGGAUGACCGUCAGAGAUAUAACAUAGUGAUUUUGAUAGAUGAAGACGUGAAUAAGGUUGUGAUGAAACUGCUUGGGGAAACUUAGGCGGCGUGCGAACAAGUCGGCUUGAAGCCUUUCAAUGCCAUCAACCCGACUCCUUAGGUAUGAAGCUUACUCGGCUAUUACCUGAUUGUCUUUGUAACAACAUUUCCAAGAUUAAGCACUUUAUUUUUAUUUUUAUUUACCCAAAUCUUGCAGAAUUCUUCUUUGUUUUGGAAAAAGAAGAGGAAAGUUCCGACUAGCAGAUCUAAGGCUGCUCCUUCCAAGAAGAAAUGUAAGUCGAUUGCUACUACAAUAUCUCGGCGCCAGUCUACAAUAUCUAGUAGCUCUCUUGAUUCCACUAAUGAUUCUCUUAGCCAAGUUACACUUGAGAAAGAAAACGAUUUAUUGAAAUGGAUUAUAGCUAGAUGUGUCUUCAAGAGUCUUGCCGGAAGUAAGCAAUUUGACGAAAUUGUCCGCAAGCAAGGAGAACAUCGAAAGAAGCAAGGUGUUGGCUACUUCAAUGCCAACGGAGAUGUUUGGGAAGAAGGUCCAUAUCCCAUUCCCAUGUUUGUUCCUAAAGAGGAGAAGUAUGAUCCUACUCCUCCCAAGGGAACAAGCUCACAAGAUGGCCUUAUACCACAAGACCACAAGGGAAAGGGAAAGCUUCAAGAGGACAUUGACUCAUUUGAAGAAGAAGCCCAAGCCAAGGUUUAGUGGGUUCCCAAGGACACUUCUAGCAGUACCUCAUCUAGUGCUACCACAACUCCAAGGAUCCCCAUCAAGGUGAUGUGGGUUCCCAAGAGGAAGAACUAGAAACUUCUUGUGGGGUGACUCCGCCAAUGAAAUUCACUCUUAUUCAUUUUGGCAAGAACUACAUGCAAUCAACCUCAACCAUAUGCAUUAUUUCAAGGAAUCACACAUUUUCACUCAAAGGUGAGCAAGUGACAAGGUAAUUAAUGCAUCUUUGGACAUCACUUCCCAUGUACUUCACUCCAUGCCCAUAGAUAUCCUUGCAUUUGUUCCUUUUGCUUUGGGACUAACCCAGAUAGGUGAUAAGAUUAAGAAACUUCAUCAACAAUGAGCAUCCACCACUACUUCACCUACUUGAAGUCUUCUAUGACAAAACCCAAGGUUAGUUGAUCUCUCUUAGGGGGGAUGUCACAUCUAGGGGGAGCUUUACUCUAAGACUUGAGUACAAGCAUCUCCUAAAUGAUGUGAACACAUUAAUGCAUUAUGUAAAAGUGGUAACCCCACUUGUGCUUAACCGAUGAGUAUGACCUAUGAUCAAGUAUUCUUACUUGACUCCUAAGUCAAUAUACUCAUAUAUAGAUGACUUCGUCAUCGCCAAAGUGCUUGAUAGAUGCUAGAAUGUUUGUGCAUGUUCAUCAUGAUUUCAUUUGACAUCUUAUGGUGUCAGCAUGUUGGUCUGCAUAUCUGUCCCCAUUCAAGGACAUCCAAUUGUUGCUAUUUGGCUUUUGAUUUAUCUUUUGCCAAUUUGAUGGACAAAAAUUCCUAGGACCCCUCUCUAGCUAUCUAUGCUUUCUCAUAUCAAGUUCUAUUCACGCUACAUCAUAGAACUUGAACAUGCACUUCUCGACCCCCCUAUGUGAGGAGCACUCGGAGUUCCGUGUUUACAAGGACUGCUUUCAAAAACCUCUUUGUGAAUCUUGGUGUAACCAACCCCAAAUUCUCGGUUCCACCGAUUCUCAAAGUUGAUAUUGGUUUUAAUCUCGGUACCAUGGAUAACAUAAUCUCGGCUUCACCGAGUUUCCCUGUUAACACAAAACAGUGGAACUCGAUGGCACCAAAAUUUUAGUGUGUGUGACACCAAAAGUGAGGGGUACUUAUAUCCGCGGACCCGAAGUUUUGAAAUUCCAUCUUCAAACGUCAAGUACCCAACCCCAAACUACCGCACCAGGACCCCUUGGUCGUCGCCCUUGUAUCCCCGAGCGGCUUCAUCGUUGGGAAUAAGCGCUGCCUAUGGAAUCUUCACCACCAUCGUCGCCUAGCGGAUUCAUCACCAAGCUAGGGUAUGAACCCGACCCCUUGUGCACUCCUCUAUCCGAAUCAUGUGCACUAGGUUACUUCCAUCUACAAUCCACAAUGUGAAAUUAUUCUAUGCCACAAGAUUCUUCCAUGGAAUAGAGAACAAAGAAAUUCUGGAUCUGAUCUCCUGCAACAUGCAUCUCGGUGAUACCGAGUUAUAAAAUCGGUACCACCAAUUUAGUUUUAGGGUUUUUGAGAACCACUUCGGUGAUACCGAGUAGUCCUUGUCGGUUACACCAAAAAGGCUGCCAAGGUUUCUAUUAAUGCAAGUGGUCAGUCUCGGUGACUCCAAAAACUCCAACCCAUGCUACCAAAAUACAUUCUGUAGUAGAUCAUACCCAAAAGUUUCUAAUUCAAAUUUUGAAAAACUUCUAUAAUUUUGUGAUGCUUAUAUUUUCAAGCUCUUCCACAUCUUUUCAUAGGGUCAACCAGUCUGUGUAUCAGCUUGUCUGCUUGGAUUGCAAGAUGUCAGGUUCCGAUGAAAGUCAGAACAACUUCAGUGAGCCCCAUGUCGAGUCUAAUUUAGGCACUAGUCCUCAGAGGACCUCUUCUCAUCCAGGUACCCCCAGCUCCCAUGGCUUUCCCAAGGCAGCUACGAGGCCCAGGAAGAAGCUGAAUUCUGAUGAAGAAGAUUCUCAUUUUGUUCCUGAACUCCCCAGAAGCAGAAAGAGAAGUCUGCAGUCAAGAAAACUGUGAGGAAGGAGUAUGCUUAACCUUCCAACCUGAGAACUCUAGAGUCUGCAAGGCAAGGGAUGGCACUUACCUUUGAGAGACCUUCUAAGAAGCCACGAGUUAAAAGAGCCAGGAAGAGAACUAUUCAUGCCAUUGGUAGACAAACCUCUAUGUAUGAAGACCCAGCAGAAACUGCUACAACUGCUGAGGAAGAGGAAUAAGAAAUUCCAGCUAAGGCCCCUACUCCAAAAAAUAAGAAGCUUAUGGAAGAUGCUAUGAAGCCUUUAGCUCCUAAGAAGCGUGUAGCUCCCAAGAGAACUACAAAGUACAUACCUGCAGGGCUGACUGAACAUUGUAAUUCAUGGCAUAGAUAAUCCAGUCACAGUCAUACUCAAUAACAAUUAAAAGCAAAGCAUAAAAAUGACGGAGGUGCUCUCUAAUUGGUGCCUUUAUAAGGAGAGGAUGACUCAACAGAAACAUAAAUAGAUAGGCCCUUCGCAAAGGGAAGCAUUGAUUUGCAGAGGUGCGAGAGCUCAAGCUUUUAAAACAGAGAUACAUAAUUUGGAGUGGUAUGCUCUCAUUGUCAACGCAAUGACCAAGAGUUUUCACCAUCUUCCAUGCUACACAAAUUAUAGGCGGUUCCCAAACAGAAAAGUAAAGUUUUGAAUCCCCCACCACCGAUCAAUCACACUCCACGACUAGCCGAAUACUCGGGUGCCGUCCAUACCAACAACAAUCCACGUGGAGUUUUGUUUGCAAUUAUCUUUUUGAUUUGAGCAUGGAACUGGGCAUUCCAAUUACCGACCCUUUCUCAUGAGUGAUAGUGAAUAAACACAUAUCGAGGAUAAAACGCCUAGCAUGGAAGAUAUUGACCGCCCCUUGUCACCACAUGAGCGGUUCGGUCAUACAAAACAUAUUAUUUCUUGAAGAUUUAGAGAGUAGUACAUGAAAAUUUACUUGGAACGGCUGGUAGAUACCGCAUAUAGGUAGGUAUGGUGGACGCAUACGCAACAACUUUGGGUUUAUGGAAGUGGAUGCACAAGCAGUAUUCCUGCUUAGUACAAGUGAAGGAUAGCAAAAGACUGGGAAGCGACCAACUAGAGAGCGACAACAGUCAUCAAUAUGCAUUGAAAUUAACCAACAUUGAGUGCAAGCAUGAGUAGGACAUAAAUCACCAUAAACAUGAAUAUCAUAGAGGCUAUGUUGAUUUUGUUUCAACUAUAUGCGUGAACAUGUGGCAAGUCAAGCCACUUGAAUCAUUCAAAGGAGGAUACCAUCCUGUCAUACUAAAUCAUAAUCAUCUUGAAAUUCAUAUUGGCAUCCAAGACAAACCAUUAUAAGCUCCUAGCUAAUUAAGCAUGGCAUCAGAAACUAUGAUCUCUAAGUAGUCAAUGCAAACAUGUUUCUCUCAUAACAAAUCUGAAUUAGGAACGAAUAGCUAGUCAUAUUUACAAAAACAAAAUAUAUCGAGUUCAUACCAGCUUUUCCACGCUCAGUCACUUCAUCAUAUAUCGUCAUUAUUGCCUUUCACUUGCACGACCGAAUGAAGUGAAUAAUAAUGAGAGUGUUCGUGCAUUGCACUAAGCUGGAAUCUGCAAGCAAGCACAAAGGAGAAGACAAGAUAAUAUGGCUCUUUGACGGAUAAAUAGAUAUGCAGGCGAGAGCCACUAAACAUUGUAACCAUGGUCUUCUACCUUGACCCAAAGAAAAAGAAAACUAUUUACACGGGAAAGCUCCCAACAAGCAAAAGAAGAAUGGGAAAUCUUUUUGGGUUUUCUCAAUCUAAAAAAACACAUGAGAAGAAAGCGAGAAAAAGAAGUAAACUAGCAUGUAUUAUACAAUGGCAAGGUGUGAACACCGACUAUCAAAGUGAAUGUGUGAGCAUGAAUAUAAAGUCGGUGAGAAAAACGUACUCGCCCAAGCUUAGGCUUUUGGCCUAAGUUGGUCUACUCCCAUGGCUGGUCCGGGCGAUAUCCAAAAUCAUAAUGGUGGUUGUACGGGAACGCGGCAGCUACCGCCUGAAUUGCUGCCUCACGGAGGCGAGCAGCCUUUGCCUCCCUCUCAUACUCCUCUGCCUCUCCUCUGGUUAUAUAAUAUCUUUGUUUUACCCGAAAGUCAAAGAAGCCAGGACCAGGAAGGGUAAUAUGGAAAACAUGUUGUCGGUUAAAUAUUAACCGGUAUAGGAGGGAUUCUUUAUCCCUCUCAAGGAACUGAUAACGUGUCAUAGAGGCGCGAUCAAGGAAAGCUGUAUGGAGCGGGAGAUCUCCUUCGCGGAUGGGUACUCCAAGAAAAUUUGCUAUGCGCGUGGCAUAGAUCCCGCCAAAGAAAUCCCCUUCAAUAGCAUUAUUAUUUAGCCUCCUCGUGAUUAUAGCUCCCAUAAUGAAACUUCUAUCACCCGUUACUGCGCUCAUAAGAAUACUAAGGUCAGGUGUGUAGAGGUGACAAUGCUCAAGAACAGGGUCACCAAGGCAGUAAUAAUCCGCAAUGAAUAAAGCACUAGAGCACAAACUAAUUGGACCAAUAGAGGAGUCACAUACCAAGGAACAAUUCCCCCAAAACAGUUUGGUGAAUGGGGCUUUGCACAAGGAAAUUGAAAAAUGGAGCAAGAAGAGCAAGAACACGGGUUUGAGCUGUGGAAUAAUUUUUUCUAGAGGUAGCAGAAGGAGAUGGGAGCUGGAAUAAGUGGAGGGGGGCACGUGGGGCCCACAAGCCAGGCACGCACGGCCACGGGGGGGGGGGUGCCCGCGCCUCCUGGGCUUGUAGCCCACUCGUGCAUCCCCCUGAUUAGCUCUCGAUCUCAGAAUUUUUUGAAAAUUCCAUAAAAAAUAAUACUUGAUUUUCAGGGCAUUUGAAGAACUUUUAUUUUCGGGACACUUUUCUAAGGGAUCAAAAAGCAGAAAACAGGAAAAACUAAAGCUAAUUUUAUCAUUUUUCUUCUAAACAACAGAAAGUAAAAGUUCGGAGGAGAAGGUUGUGACCCCUAGAUUCAUCCAUCUCAUGGUCAUCAAAAGAAAUCCGCCAAUGAGGUUGAUCAAGUCUCCUUGACAAACUUUUUUUGAAUUACAUGAAACUGGAGAAUUUUCGAAUAAUCACUAAGUUACCUCAAUAGGGAUGUGCAUAUCCCCUACAAGCAAUUCAUACUUCAUCUUGACAGUAGGUAUAGGGCAUUCAAAGCUCCCAAUAAGGAUUGAUGAAGUUUUUCAAUAGCAUUGAUGCAAUGUACUCGAUAUUGUUACUUCGGAAAGUGCACCGUAUGCUCAUUACCAUUUACAUGGAAAGUGACAUUGCCUUUGUUGCAAUCAAUAACAGCCCCUGCAGUGUUUAAAAAGGGUCUUCAAGGAUGACCGCCAUGGCAUCAUCCUCGGGAAUAUCAAGAAUAACAAAGUCCGUUAAGAUAGUCACGUUAGCAACCACAACAGGCACAUCCUUGCAAAUGCUGAUAGGAAAAGCAGUUGAUUUGUCGGCCAUUUGCAAAGACAUUUCAGUAGGUGUCAACUUAUCCAAUUCACGUCUACGAUAAAGAGAGAGAGGCAUAACACUAACACCGGCUCCAAGAUCGCAUAAAGCAGUUCUAACGUAGUUUCCUUUAAUGGAGCAAGGUAUAAUGGGCACUCCGGGAUCACCUAGUUUCUUAGGAGUUCCACCCUUGAAGGUGUAAUUAGCGAGCAUGGUGGAAAUCUCAACCUCAGGUAUCCUCCUUUUAUUAGUCACAAUAUCUUUCAUGUACUUAGCAUAAGGAGAUAUUUUGAGCAUAUCUGUCAAACGCAUUUGCAGAAAGACAGGUCUAAUCAUUUCAACAAAGCGCUCAAAAUCCUCAUCAUCCUUUUUCUUGGAUGGUUUGGGAGGAAAGGGCAUGGGUUUCUGAACCUAUGGUUCCCUUUCUUUACCAUGCUUCCUAGCAAUGAAGUCGUUCUUAUGAUAUAUCCUAUUCUUAGGUUGUGGGUUAUCAAGAUCAAUAGGUUCAAUCUCCACAUCCUUAUCAUUGCUAGGUUGAGCAUCAACAUGAACACCACUAUCGAUAUUAUCACUAGGCUCAUGUUGAUCACCAGAUUGUGUUUCGGCAACAGAAACAGAGAUAUCAUUUGGAUUCUCGGGUGUAACAGUAGCAGGUUUGCUAGCAUGCAAGUUCCUAUCAUCUUUCUUUUUCUUCCUAUUACUAGGAUGACUAGGUGCCUCAGUGCUAACUCCUUGAGAAUCUUGUUCAAUUCUCUUAGGAUGAACCUCAUGAUACAAAGGUUCUUGGGUCAUUCUACCACCUCUAGUGAUAACUCUAAUAGACUUGUCGUUUAGCUCAUUGAGCAAGUCAUUUUGAUCCUUAAGUACUUGUUCUACUUGAGUGGUGACCAUAGAGGCAUGUUUACUGAAGAGCUUAAGAUCAUUGACAUUUCUAUCCACACAAGCACUUAUAUGACCAAUCAUGCGAGCAUUUUGCCUCAAUUGUAUGCUAACAUAAUCAUUGAAACUUUGUUGUCUGGCAACAUAGUUAUCAAAUUCAUCUAAGCAUAAGUUAGCAGGUUUAUCAAAAGGAAUAUCACUCUCAUUGAAUCUACGAAGAGAAUUUACCUCUACUACCUGUGUUGGGUUAUCAAGACCAUGUAUUUCUUCGAUAGGUGGUAGAUUCUUAACAUCUUCAGAUUUGAUACCUUUCUCUUGCAUAGAUUUCUUGGAUUCUUGCAUAUCUUCAGGACCGAGGAAUAGAAUACCUCUUUUCUUCGGAGUUGGAUUCGGAGGUGGUUCAGGAAUAAGCCAAGCAUUCUCCUUGCGCAAGAUAUUAUUCAAUAGAAUCUCAGCUUGUUCCACAGAUUGUUCCCUGAAAACACAACCAGCAAACUAUCUAGGUGGUCCCUAGAAGCAUCGGUUAGUCCAUUAUAAAAGAUAUCAAGUAUUCCAUUUUUCUCAAGAGAGUGAUCAGGCAAAGCAUUAAGUAGCUGGACAAUCCUCCCUGAAGCUUAUGGGAGACUCUCUUCUUCAACUUUCACAAAGUUAUAUAUAUCCUGCAAGGCAGCUUGUUUCUUAUGGGCAGGAAAAUAUUUCUCAGAGAAGUAGUAGAUCAUAUCCUGGGGACUACGCACACAACCAGGAGCAAGAGAAGUAAACCAAGUCUUAGCAUCACCCUUUAGCGUGAAAGGAAACAAUUUAAGGAUAUUGUAGUGGCGGAUCUUUUCCUCACUCAUGAAUAGGGUGGCUAUAUCAUGCAGCUUAGUAAGAUGUGCUACAACCGUUUCAGGCUCAUAACCAUGAAAAGGAUCAUAUUCGACCAAAGUGAUUAAAUCAGGACCGACAGAGAAUUCAUAAUCCUUAUCAGUAAAAAAGAUAGGCGAAGUAGCAAACUUAGGAUCGUAUUUCAUCCUAGCGUUCACAGAUUUUUCUUUCCACUUGCGCAAUAAAUUCUCAAGAUCAUAGCUAUCCUUACAAGCAAGAAAGUCCUCGACUACCUCUCCCUCCAUAACAUAACCCUCGGGUAUAUCAGGCAAUUCAUAUCUAGGAGAGCUAGUUCUAACAGGUGUAACAACAGGUUCUAGUUCAAUAAUUUCAGCAGUUUCAGAAGUAUCAUCACAUUCAGCAGCAACUCUAGCAAUUUGUGCAUCAAGGAAUGCACCUAGUGGCAAAGCAGUAUCAAGCAAAGCAUCAUCAUAAGAAUCAUGUAUAGCAUAAGUAGAAUCAUUAAGCACAGGCGACACAUCAGAAUUUCUAGUAGGUGGUGGUGUCACAAAUUUACUCAUAACUGAAGGUGAAUCAAGUGCAGAGCUAGAUGGCAGUUCCUUACCUGUCCUCGUAGUUGAGGGCAAGACUUUAGUUUUUGGAUCUCUCGGAUUGAUCAUAGUGAUCAACAGACGUAAAUUCCAAGUGACUCAGAGAAUAGUGCUAGGCCUCCCCGGCAACGGCGCUAGAAAAUAGUCUUCAUAACCCACAAGUAUAGGGGAUCGCAACAAUUUUCGAGGGUAGAGUAUUCAACCCAAAUUUGUUGAUUCGACACAAGGGGAAGCAAAAGAAUAUUCUCGAGUAUUAGCAGUUGAGUUGUCAAUUCAACCACACCUGAAAGACUUAGUAUCUGCAGCAAAGUUUCAGUAGCAAAGUAGCGUGAUAGCAAUGGUAGCAAGUACCAGUAGGAAAAACUCAUAGGAAUUGGAUCGGUGAUGGAUAAUUAUGCCGGAUGACAUUCAUCAUGUAUCAGUUAUAACAUGGGGUGAUUUGUAACUAGCUCCAGUUCGUCAAUGUAAUGUAGGCAUGUAUUCCGUAUAUAGUCAUACAUGCUUAUGGAAAAGAACUUGCAUGGCAUCUAUUGGCCAUCCCUCCUGUGGCAGCGGGGUCCUAAUGGAAACUUAGGGAUAUUAAGGUCUCCUUUUAAUAGAGAACCGGAACAAAGCAUUACCACAUAGUGAAUACAUGAACUCCUCAUACUAUGGUCAUCUCUGGGAGUGGUUCCGGCUAUUGUCACUCUAGGGUUGCGGGGUCAUAACACAUAGUAGUUGACUACAACUUGCAAGAUAGGAUCAAGAACACACAUAUAUUGAUGAGAACAUAAUAGGUUCAUAUCUGAGAUCAUGGCACUCGGGCCAUAGUGACAAGCAUUAAGCAUGACAAAGUAGUAGGAACAUCAACCUCAGAACAUAGUGGAUACUUGGGAUCAAACCCCAUCAAAACUAACUCGAUUACAUGACCGUCCAGCAAGCCUACGAUGAGAUUACUCACGAACGGUGAAGAGCAUCAUGGAAUUGGUGAUGAAGGAUGGUUGAUGAUGACGACGGCGACAAUUUCCCCUCUCGGGAGCCCAAAACAGACUCCAGAUCUGCCCUCCAAAGGAAGAACAGGUGGUGGCGGUGGCUCCGUAUCGUGAAACGCGAUGAACUCUUCUCUAUUAUUUUUUCUGGGCGAGAGAGACUAAAUAGAGCUGGAGUUGGAGGCGGCGGAGCCCCGAGGGCCUCACAAGCCUGCCAGGCGCGGCCAGGGGGGCGCCUCCUGGGCUUGUGGGCUCCUUGCUCCGUCCCUCCAGGUAUUUCUUGCGCCAAUAUUUUUUAUAUAUUCCACAAAAAAUCCUCGUAAAUUUCCAGGUCAUUCCAAGAACUUUUAUUUCUGCGCAAAAACAACACCAUGGCAAUUAGAGUCCGGGUUAGUUCCAUUCAAAUCAUGCAAAUUAGAGUCCAAAACAAGGGCAAAAGAGUUUGGAAAAGUAGAUACGAUGGAGACGUAUCAAGUGGCGGCGGAUCUCUCCGGUGACCCAGAGCUUUCGAGAGGUGCCACGCGGCUGCCAGGAACACCGUUGACACCACGGACAAGGAGGGGGCAGCGAAAGACGGCUCGGGCGCCUUGGCUGUCACAGUAACUGCAUAGAGCGCGCGUUGUGGCAUGCCAGUACUGUGGUCACCAUGGUUACGGCUGCCACAAGGCCACACAAGCCUGGAGACCUUGUCCAUUGCGUCGACUAGACUCUCAUUAGUCACCAUCCACCACUGGUUAGACCAGUCACACUCCCGUGCGAAGUGUAGCUUCAACUACAAUUUCUGCCUGCAGACUUGGGGAGUUCUAGAGCUCAAAUGGAUUAGGGUUCGAGCAAGCUAGCAUGUCCGAGUUAAUCAGCAUAGGAGGGACUACAAACUGGCAAGGUUUGAAAAGAUUUGAAGAUCAAAUGAAUAUAGUUCCUUUGAAAAUCACCUUUCUGGUACAGAAUGCAAAUGAGCUCAUGGCACUCACAUGCAAGCCCUGCUAAUGGUGAAACUUGGUGGAGGAGUGUUAUUAGGUAGUGCACACAUGUCCAAAAUUUUAUAGAUCAUUUGUGCACCCCUAGCUAGGGCUUCCUUCACAAAGGUUCAAUUUUAACAGAAACUUAGCAGAGUUUUCCUGCUCAAAACUUGUAUUGGACCAUCAGAUGUUUUUACAUAUUGGCACUAAAUAGGAUCCCUAGGAGCUAAGGGAAUUUAUUGGGAAUUUUCUAAAACAGGAAAAAUAGGGUUGCUUCACAAAGUGACAAUUCUAGUCAGAAAAGAAAUAAUUAUUCUGGCCAAAAUUUUACAUUGGGCAAGGAAAUGUUUUUGAAGAUUUUGAAAUAAUAUGAUACUGAGAAUAUGUGGAAAACGUUUUGGGGUUUAUAGCUUAUCCCAACUAUAGGUUUCUUCACAACCCAUGGUGAUGCCUUAAUUCCCCAAAAUAUAAAAAGAAUUAUUUGAAAGAAUUAAAUAUUGCAAAUUAAUCCAAGAAAUGUUUUGGCAAUAGGAAAAAGGUUUUAGGUUAAUUGAGACAAGAAAUCAGAGACUCACAAUCCAACUUGCUUGAAAGCAUUUGAAAAUCCACCAAUUUGAAAGUGAAACUCCAAAAUAUUUUGAAAAGAAAAGAAGUUUGAAAAAUCAGGGUGUUACAACGCGUCCAGUAGAGUGCCGGCGUGCGGGGCGGCCGAGUGACGAUGGAGUGUCUCGCCGAGUGGUGAUGCGUGGAGCUGUCGAGUGACGAAGGCGUGUCUCGCCGAGUGGCGACGCGCGGAGCUGCCGAGUGAUGACGACACGUCCAAUAGAGUGACGACACACGGAGCUGCCGAGUGACGAAGGCGUGUCUCGCCAAGUGGCGAUGUGUGGAGCUACCGAGUGAUGAAGACGCGUCCAAUAGAGUGACGGUGCACGGACCUGCCGAGUGAUGACUACGCGUCCAGGAGAGUGACGGCAUACGGGGCGGCCGAGUGAUAACUACGCGUCUAGCAGAGUCACGGCGCACGGGGGGCCGAGUGUCGAUGGAGCGUUCAGUAGAGUGACGGCGGGCGGGGUGGCUGAGUGUCGAUGGAGCAUUCAGCAGUGACGGCGCGCUGAGCAGCCGAGUGAUGACGACGCGGCCAUCAUAGUGAUGGCGCGCGGAGCUGCUGAGUGAUGACGACGCGUCUAGCAGAUUGAUGGCGCGUGGGGCGCCCGGAUGAUGGAGAUGCGUCCAGUCGAGUGGUGGCAUGCUGGACGACCAUGUGAUGAAGACGUGCUCGGCGGAGUGAUGGCGCGCGGGGUGCCGAGAUGAUGGAGAUGCGUCUAGCUGAGUGGUGGCGCGCUGGGCGGCCAUGUGAUGAAGACGUGCUCGGCGGAGUGAUGGAGGUGCGUCCAGCCGAGUGGUGACGCGCUGGGCGGCCAUGUGAUGAAGAUGUGCUCGGCGGAGUAAUGGCGCAUGGGGCGCCCAGAUGAUGGAGAUGCGUCCAGCCGAGUGGUGGCGCGCUGGGUGGCCUUGUGAUGAAGACGUGCUCGGCGGAGUUAUGGCGCGCGGGGCGCCUGGAUGAUGGAGAUGCGUCCAGCCGAGUGGUGGCACACUGGGCGGCCAUGUGAUGAAGACGUGCUCAACUGAGUGACGAGGCGUGAGGGGGCCGAAUGAUGGUGUAACUUAUGUACGAAGAAUAGGAGAAGCCAACGUAAAAAAUUCUCAAAGUAAUAUGAGUUUGCUGAAAUGAUUUGUGUAAAUUACACCCGUAGACAACCGCCGGGUGUGCCACGUGAUUGCUGGUUUGGAACCAGCAAGAGUCUGAAAGAGUGAAGGAUCCAACUAAACUCGUGUGUGUACUGGAUCCAAAUGAAGUGGAAGUGAAGUGUUUCGACAUGAAAAUAAACAACCACUUCAACUAGCUUCCAUGCCGGUGUGCCGUGUUGAGAGACUGAUGGUGGAGGGAAAUCUCAGAAGGUGGAGCCGCUGUGUGUCCCCGCUGCCGGCGUGCAGCUGAGGCCUCGUCGCUCCGGAGGCCGAUCCGUUUCAGCCGACGCUGCUACUGUGGGCCGCGCUGAACUGUCGUGGAGUCAUCGUCUGCGUGAGGUGACUAGUUGCCCAAACCACCGUUUGUAGCUCUUUUGAUUCUUGUAUGUGAUUGCACCGAUCAGCAUGGAUGCAUGAACGUGUGAACAUGCAAAAGAGACAAAAACCAAUUAGUAGAUCGUCGAUUGAUCAUUAGAUCAAAAGAGGAUAUCAUUCAGAAGAGGGAAAACUCCCGAUCCAUCCAUUUGUGAUUCGUCCGGUGAAGAUAUAUCUUUUCCCUUCCUUUUGCGAUACUUCAGUUACUUGUUGUGCUAAGACGAACAUUAUGCUCAAGAAGAACAUGAAAUAAAACAUAGACGAAUAAACCAAACCAUCGGCAUCAUGGUUCGAUGGACGCCAUGCCCCAUGGUGGACGCCAAAUGUCGUGGUAACGAUUCCGGCAUUAGAGAGGGGUAGGAUAGCGGAGCAUGAUCUAUCGAGAUGCAAAUGGGUGACACAUUGGUUUUAGCGAGUUUGGGCCUCUCACGGUGGAGAUAACAACCCUACGUCUCGUGCUCCGGAGAGGCUUUUCUUAUCUAUCAUGAACACGGAGUUACAUGGUGUAUUAGAGAGAGAGGAAGAAGAACAGGUCUCCAAACUAAGUCCUCAGACUAGAGAGAGCCAGGGCUCCAUGAGGAAGAAUGAGCCCCGGUGGGAGAAGAUGCUAACCGACCUAUGUGGUGGGGGUGGCUUAUAUAGAGUGCGCCACCCCCUCACCUCAUAUGUUACAAUGUGGGGCAUUAAUUCCAUGAUGUGAGCCCACUACAAAAACUACGCUAUGAGGACGAUGCUCCGACUGCCUUGCUCACUGUUGAUCCUUGCAUAUCCGAGUGAGUCGUGCGACCGAGUGGUUGACUGUCGUCUGAGUGGACAGACUGUACUCAUCAGAGUGGAUAGGUUUUACUCGUCCGAGUGGAUAGAUUGUACUUGCCCGGACCCACCUCAUCUGUGGACCCCAUGCUAUUAUGGUAUUUUGACCCUUCAUGUGCCUACCCUUUUUGUGUAUCCCCAACAUCCUCCAGUCCCACGAUGUUUCUUUUCCCUGAAAGAACUAUGUGGCGCUUUGGCUCAUCGUAUGAUGUAUUUGCUUCCUUACCUUUUCUUUUUCUUGGCUUGGUAGACAUAUCCUUCACAUAGAAAACCUACGCCACAUCAUUGGCUAGGACGAAUGGUUCAUCUGUGUACCCAAGAUUGUUGAGAUCCACUGUUCUCAUUCCAUACCACGGAUCUUCCUUUACCCCGCCUCCUUUCAGAUUGACCCAUUUGCACCAAAACAAAGGGACCUUCAAAUUUUUCCAUAGUCAACUUCCCAUAUAUCCUCUAUGUAACCAUAAUAUGUGUAUUUUGGCCUAUUGUUGGUGUUUGCUGCAUCAAAGCGGACACCACUGUUUUGGUUGGUGCUCUUUUUAUCUUGAGCAAUCGUGCAAAAUGUAUUCCCAUUUAUCUCGUACCCUUUAAAAGUCGAUAUAGUCAAAGAUGGUGACUUGGCGAGCAAGUACAGGUCAUCUCCAACUUCACGGUCAUGCAUGAGACGUGUUUGCAACGAACUGCCGAAUGACUACAUGUGUACGUUUGAUCCAGGGAGCAGACUGCUCCGGGUUCUUGGAGCAUACAAUAUACAUAUGUUCCUCGAUAUACGGAUCCACCAAGGUGGAAUUUUGUAGAACUGUGUAGUGUGCUUCCGCCCUAGAAUGCCCGUCCUUACAUAUUACUGAAUCCUUUCCUAGCGUGCCUUUUCCACCCAGUCUGCCCUGAUGCCUCGAUUCAGGAAGACCAUUCAACUUAAUAUCAGAAAUAAAGUCAACACAAAAUUCAAUGACCUCCUCUGUUUCAUGGCUCUUGGAGAUGCUUCAUUCUGGCCUAGCAUGGUUGUGAACAUAUUUCUUUAAGACUCGCAUAAACCUCUCGAAGGGGAACGUAUUGUGUAGAAAUACAGGGCCCAUAAUGGAAAUAUCUUCGACUAGGGGAACUAGGACGUGUGUUAUGAUAUGGAAGAAGGAUGGUGGGAACACCAGCUCGAAACUAACAAGACAAUGCCCCAAAUCAUUCUGUAACCUUGUUAGGAAUUCUGGAUCGAUUACCUUCUACGCGAUAGCAUUGAGGAAUGCACAUAGCUUCACAAGGGAUGAUCGGGCGUUUUCCGGUAGAAGUCACCUCAGUGCAACCGGAAGCAAUUGCGUCGUAAUCACGUGGCAGUCAUGAGACUUUAGGUUCUGGAAUUUUUUCUCUGUCAUAUUUAUUAUUCCCUUUAUAUUCGACGAGUAGCCAUAUGAGACCUUCAUACUAACCAGGCAUUCAAAGAAGAUUUCCUUCUCUUCUUUGGUAAGAGCGUAGCUUGCAGGACCUUCAUACUGCUUUGGAUUCAUGCCGUCUUUUUUGUGCUUACAUUGCUGGUUCUCCGUGCCUCCGGGUUAUCUUUUGUCUUCCCAUACACGCCCAAGAAGCCUAGCAGGUUCACGCAAAGAUUCUUCGUCACGUGUGUCAUCUCUAUUGCAGAGUGGACCUCUAGGACUUUCCAAUAAGGUAGGUCUCAAAAUAUAGAUUUCUUCUUCCACAUGGGUGUGUGUCCGUCAAAGUCAUUCGGAACCGAUUGUCCGCAAGGACCCUUUCCAAAAAUUACCUUUAAAUCCUUGACCAUAUGAAGUAUAUGAUCACUAUUAUGGUGGCCAGGCUUCUUUCAGUGAUCUGCCUCACCUUUGAAAUGCUUGCCUUCUUUUCUUAAGAGAUGCUUGAUCGGAAGAAAUCGACGAUGUCCUAGGUACACAUUCUUCUUACAUUUAUCCAAGUAUAUACUUUUGGUAUCAUCUAAAUAGUGCGUGCAUGCAUAGUAUCCCUUGUUUGUCUGUCCUGAAAGGUUACUAAGGCAGGACAAUAAUUGAUGGUUACAAACAACAACGCUCGUAGGUCAAAUUCCAGCUGUUUGUGUUCAUCCCACACACGUACACCUUUGAUAUCCCACAACUAUAGAAGUUCUUCAACUAAUGCCCUCGGGUACACAUCAAUGUUGUUGUCGGGUUGCUUGGGGCCUUGGAUGAGCACUGGCAUCAUAAUGAACUUCCGCUUCAUCCACAACCAAGGAGGAAGGCUAUAGAUACAUAGAGUCACGGGCAGGUGCUACGAUUGCUUCUCUGCUCCCCAAAAGGAUUAAUGCCAUCUGCACUCAAACCAAGCCAACAGUUCCUUGGGUCAUCUGCAAAGUCCGGCCACUCUCUCUCGAUUUUCCUCCACUGCGACCCAUCUGCGGGUACUCUCAACUUCCUGUCUUGCUUACGCUCGUCUUUGUCCCAUCGCAUCAACUUGGCAUGCUCUUUGUUUUGGAACGAACGUUUCAAUCGUGGUAUUAUAGGCGCAUACCACAUCACCUUGGCAGGAAUCCUCUUCCUGGGGCGCUGGACCUCAACGUCCUCACCAGGGUUAUCGCGGCCGAUCUUAUAGCGCUCGGCACCGCAUACCGGGCAUGCAUGCAAAUUCCCGUACUCCUCACCGCGGUACAAGAUGCAGUCAUUAGGGCAUGCAUGUAUCUUUUGCACCUCUAAUCCUAGCGGACAGAUAGUCUUCUUUGCUUCGUAUGUACUGUCGGGAAAUUCGUUGUCCUUUGGAAGCAUCUUCUUUAACAAUUUCAGCAUAUUUUCAUAACCCUUGUCAGAUACACCAUUCUCUGCCUUCUAUUGCAGCAAUUCCAGUGUGGUGCCCAACUUCUUCUUGUCAUCUCCGCAAUUUGGGUACAACAAUUUCUUGUGAUCCUCUAACAUGCACUUCAACUUCAGCUUCUCCUUUUCACUUGCGCAGUUUCCCUUUGCAUCAGCAAUGGCCCGACCAAGAUCAUCAGCAGGCUCAUUUGGUGCCUCUACUUCAGCAGGCUCAUCUGGUGCCUCUACUUCCCCCAUUGUAGUACCAUCGUAUCAUGGGAACAAAGGAUAGCCGUCAUCAUCAUGUUCUUCAUUCUCGCCGGACAUGAAACCGGACGUAAAUAGGUGGACGUGAAUGACUCUUGACAUAUUGCAAGUUUUAUCAUUCUUACAGACAUGGACAACACAUAAAACCAUCUCGUUGGUUUGCCUCAGCUAUGCGCAGAAAACUCUGCAAGCCAUUAAUGAACUGGGGAGAGCGUCGGUCGUCAUACAUCCAUUCUCGGUUCAUCUUCAUUACAGAAGACCGAAAAGACCAAAUUUAUAAAAGUUCACACAUAUGGUUCAUACACACGUAUUCUCAUAAAACAACAUAGAAGAGUUUCUAGCUAAAGUAUAUAAAUGCAAGAACAAAUGUGACCAAGAUCGCAACUAAGGUAACAAUUGAUCCAACAUCAUAGUGAUACAAAGCCUCUUUAUUAAGGGCAUAUUUUCUAAUCCUUCUAAUCUUCAAGCGCAUUGAAUCCAUCUUAAUCUUGUGAUCAUCAACGACAUCGACAACAUACAACUCCAAUAUCAUCUUCUCUUCUUCAACUAUUUUCAAUUUUCCUUUCAAAACCUGGUUUUCUUUUUCAACUAAUUUUAACUUCUCGACAAUAGGGUCCGUUGGAAUUUUCGGUUCAACUACCUCCUAGAUAAAAGUAUCUAUCUCAACUUCAUGGGCAUAAUUGUCAUAAAUAUGAAAUGCAACAAAUAGUUAAAGAAUAGAAUAUACCACAUCUGAAUCGUAAACCGGACGAGGGCCGACGGACACGGAUAUCAAAACCAUGGCACUUCGUAUAACAAACAAUUAUACAAGUAAGAAUAUUAUACAAGUAACUAUCUAAAUCAUACAAAUAAGAUCUAUUUUGUAAAAAGGAUAAGAACAAGGGCUUCACCAAGGUGGUGUCGACGGCGACGGGACGGUGCGUGCGAUCAACGGUGCUUAGGACGGGGACGACACUAAGUAAACCACACCUACACAUAUGCAAACUAGCAAGUUAAUUUGAGCUCAAAUUGCAUAUAAAUCAAAUAAACUACCACAUAAUUACUCCCAAACUAAAAUCCACAAAUCACUAUACUUAUAGAGCAUUGCACAAGUCGAUCUAGCAAUGAGAGAUGAAAGGACAAAGUUGCUAACCUUUGUGAACACUUGGAGAGAUGGGGUGCCUCAAACCUUGACAAAUCUAGGAAAAAAUGGAGGUUGAGCUCGAGCCAAGGUGGAGAACAGAGAGGGAAAUGAAGAAAAUAGAGCAAUGUGCUCGGGCUGGACGAAGGUGUUUAUAUAGGAAAACGUGUAGUCUCAGUUUUUAUCACAAUGCAUGACUAAUGGUCUACCUAUAGUCCCAGUUUUGAUACAAACCGGGACUAAAGGGGCUAGUGGGGGCCCCAGCCUCACACGAGACUGCACGCUUGUCGUCUCCCGGUAAGUGUCUUGCCCCUUACUCCAAGUCUGGCAGGUUUCUUCUUGUCCAAGAAAAAUCAUUCCGGAGAUUUAUUCCGUUUGGACUCCGUUUAAUAUUCCUCAUCUGCAAUACUCAAAAACAUGGAAAAAACAGAAACUGGCACUAGGCUCUAGAUUAAUAGGUUAGUCCCAAAAAUAAUAUAAAACAGCAUAUUAAUGCAUAUAAAACAUCCAAAAGAGAUAAUAUAAUAGCAUGGAACUAUCAAAAAUUAUAGAUACGUUGGAGACGUAUCAAGCAACACCAAGCUUAAUUCCUGCUCAUCCUCGAGUAGGUAAAUGAUAAAAAUAGAAUUUUUGAUGUGGAAUUCUACCUAACAUAUUUAUCCAUGUCAUAUUCUUUAUUGUGGCAUGAAUAUUCAGAUCUAUAAGGUUCAAAACAAAAGUCUAAUAUUGACAUAAAAACAAUAAUACUUCAAGCAUACUAACAAGGCAAUUGCUUCCCUUGGAAUUAACAUGGUCGUAGAAAUUUAUCCCUACCAAAUCAUAUGGUCUGGCUAUGCUCCAUCUUCCCCACACAAAGUAUCUAAAUCAUGCACAACCCCGAUGAAAGUCAAGCAAUUGUUUCACACUUUUUAUGUUCUCAAACCUUUUCAACUCUCACGCCAUACAUGAGCAUGAGCCAUGGAUAUAGCACUAUAGGUGAAAUAGAAUAUGGUGGAGGUUGCAAAAAUAAAGAGGAGAAGAUAGUCUCACAUCAACUAGGCGUACCAACGGGCUAUGGAGAUGCCCAUCGAUAGAUAUCAAUGUGAGUGAGUAGGGAUUGCUAUGCAACAAAUGCAGUAGAGCUAUAAGUGUAUGAAAGCUCAAAAAGAAAACUAAGUGCUUGUGCAACAGAUGAAAUUCCACUAGUUAUAUGAAAGUUACAAAAUAGGAGACUCUCUAUGAAGAAGAUGGUGUUUGUUUGAAGCACAUGUGUGGAAAAAGAUAGUAGCAUUUUCCCUUCUCUCUUUCUCUCAUUUUUUUGGUGGCAUCUUUGUCCUCUAUUAUUUUUUAUGGGCUUCUCUGGCCUCUUUUAUUUUUUGUGAAGUUCAGAGACUCAUCCCAACUUGUGAGAGAAUCAUAGCUUCCACUAUCCUUUUCUCACAUAGGACAAUGCUCUAAUAAUGCAAAUCAUCACACUUUUAUUUACUUACAACUCAAAGAUUACAAGUCGAUAUCUAGAACAAAAUAUGACUCUGUAAGCAAUAUGGAAGUGAUGGUGUGUGUCAUAAAAACAAUAGGAUGAUGGUGUUGCAUGGCAAUAUAUCUCAGAAUAGCUAUGAAAAUGCCAUAAUAGGUAGAUAUUGUGGUUGUUUUGAGGAAAGUAUAUGGUGGCUGUUUUGAGGAAGGUGGGUUUAAUGUAGCGACGAAAGUUGUGCGGUACUAGAGAGGCUAGCAAAGGUGGAAGGGUGAGAGUGCGUAUAAUCCAUGAACUCAGCAUUAGUCAUAAAGAACUCCCAUACUUAUUGCAAAUGCCUAUUAGUUAUCAAAGCAAAGUAUUAGACGCAUGCUCCUUGGGGAAGGGUUGGUAGGAGUUAACCAUCGCGCGAUCCCGACCUCCACAAAAAGGUUGACAAUCAUUAAACAAAUCAUGCUCCGACUUCAUCACAUAACGGUUCACCAUACGUGCAUGCUAAGGGAAUCACAAGCUUUAACACAAGUAUUUCUUCCAAUUCACAAUUACUUACUAGCAUGACUCUCAUAUUACCAACUUCAUAUCUUAAAACUAUAUGCAAGGAAUCAAACUUCUCAUCAUAUCCAAUGCACUUAAUAUGAAAGUUUUUAUUAUAUCCCUCUUGGAUGCCCAUUAUAUUAGGACUAAAUUCAUAACCAAAACGGAUUACCAUGCUAUUUAAAGAACUCUUAAAAUAAUAUAAGUGAGGUACGAGAGUUUAAUAAUUUCUAUAAAACACCGCUGUGCUCUAAAUGAUAUAAGUGAAGCACUAGAGCAACAUUGCCUAGCUCAAAAGAUAUAAGUGAAUGAUAACGAGUUUAUGUAUAUACUUCUCGCACCUCGUUGGACCCCAAGUGGAAGGUGGAGAUGUAGGCAGCAGCAAAGUUCCCUUACACAGAGAUUGUAAGGUUUAUCUAACCAAGAGGACUCCUAGGCUCAACAAGUAGGUGUCUUCCACCCUGGCGAUAGCAGAAGACGUGGACCUGCACACACAAUAAAUAACUUUGCUCCCAACGAGUAUAGAGAGGUUGUCAAUCUUUCCGGCCUUGUAGUUUGCAAAGGAUCAAAACACAAGCGGGAAGGUAAUAGUGAUUGCAAUGGAAAAGUAAAUGAAAGCGGUAAAUGAUGGAGGUGUAAGCAAUGAUGGUGAUAUGGACCGGAGUCACAUGAUGUUCACUAGUGAUGUCUCUCUCCCAAAAGACGAUAAACAACUAUGCUAGGGUAAACAAAUCAUAGUUGGGCAAUUGACAGAAUUAUGCUGGCACCGCAAUGCUAAUUAUGCUCCUUGAUAGUUAGAGGUUCAAUAGUAAUGGGCAAUACGCCAAGACAAGUAGACCGUUUACUCAUAAUCAUCUACUUACUAAUCAUCCAUCUUGAUAUAUCUAUCUAGAACAUCUCUCCGGUAUUAAGUUGCGAGCGCAACCCAAACUGUAGACUAAAAGCAACGGACAACUACAUUAACGAACUAUGCGUAAGGUAAACAAUCCUUGCAACCGUGGUCACAAGCACCAUUGUUUUCUCCCUGGUGGCAACAAGCACAUCCCCUAGUCUCUUGUUUCUGUCACUCAAACUAGACAUCGAGGGGCCCGAACCCACAACCAUGCAUAAUGCUCCCUCUUGGAGUUGCGAUCUACUACUUGGCCAAAGCAAUAAAAAGCAAAGGAGAACAUGCAUGAAUCACUAAGGAACGUAAUAUAAAAGGAUAAUCAAAUAUAUAACUCAUAAAAUCUGAACAUAAUCUCAUAAUCCAUCGGAUCACAACAAAUCCAUCAUAGCAAUAGCAAGAGAAUUACAUAGAUUCCUUUAUCGUGUAGGGCAGCUCACAAGGACUAACCAUUGAAGCACAAGAUUGGAGAGAAGACAUCACAUAGCUACUGGUCGUGGACUCAUGGUCCAAGGGAAACUACUCACGGCACGUUCGGGAGGCGUCCAUGGUGGUGGAGAAGCUCCCGGAGGUCAAUCCUCCCUCCGACAUUGUGCCGGGAAGAGGUCUCCUAACACUCCCGAUCUCGGAAGUGCUGCGGCGGCGGAACGAUGAAGAAAUUCGCGAUUCCAGAAAGUCUGCGAGGGUUUCCUCUCGGGACUCUAAAUAUAGGCCAAAGGAGGGCACCGGAGGAGGUGGGACCCACCCAGACGACCUCCUAGCGCGGCCUAGGGCCUGGCGGCGCCAGCAGGCCACCUGGGAGGCCCCUGGCCCCCCUCGGGCCCUCCUUUGGUGAUCCUGAAGCUACUGUUUCUCUUAUUUUUUAUAUAUUUUUUCUGGAUUUUUUCGGGCUUCGGAAAAUUGGGUAAAAGCCCCUGCAAAAAAGACAUCAGCAGACAUAAACUGGCAUUGGGUGCACUGAGUUAGUAGGUUAGUCCAAAUAUGUGUAAAAUGGUAUAAAAGUGUAGCAAAACAUAUAACAAUCUCACCCAAAAGAUCAUAGAACAAGCAUAAAUUAUAGAUAUGUUUGGGACGUAUCAGUGAAGCACAUAGAGCAUUCAAACAAAUUAAUGAUUCAGCUUGCCUCUCUCAAAAGAUGUGUGCAGCAAGGAUGAUUGUGGAAAACUAAAAAAUAAAGACUCAUAUCAUACAAGACGCUCCAAGCAAAACACAUAUCAUGUGGUGAAUAAAAAUAUAGUCUCAAGUAAAUUACCGAUGGAUUGAAGACGAAAGAGGGGAUGUCUUUUGGUGCAUCCCCAAGCUUAGGCUCUUUGGUAUCCUUGAAUAUGGGUUGUGGUGCCUUGGUCAUCCCCAAGCUUAGGCUCUUUCCACUCCUUAUUACAUAGUCCAUCAAAUCUUUACCCAAAUCUUGAAAACUUCACAACAAAAAACUCAACAAAAAACUCAUGAGAUCUGUUAGUAUAAGAAAAAUAAAUGACAACUUUAGGUACUAUUGUAUUGGUGUAAUAUUUACUGUAUUCCAACCUCUCCAUGGUUCAUACCCCCGAUGCAACCCAUAGGUUUGUCAAAAUAAGUAAAAAACACAAAGAAAACAGAAUCUGUCAAAAUGCAAUAGUCUGUAGCAAUCUGUAUACUUCGAAUACUUCUGAACUCCAAUUUUUUUGAAAAACUAGGAAAAUCUGGGAAAUUUGUAAAUCAAUCUUUUUCGAAAAUUUCAGAUCAAAAGCACGUUCCAACUUAUUUACAAAAUUCCUAGACUGAGAGAAAUUUUUUUGGUUUUUUAGCAAAAUCAACUUGCAAACACUAUAGACCAUCCCAAAGGUCUUACUUGGCUCAAACACUAAUUAAAACAAGAAAACACAAUCAUUACAGAGGUAAUAAUGUCAUAAAAAUAAAAUUGGUUUCCCUCCCAACAAGCGCUAUUGUUUAACGCCCCUUGCUAGGCAUAGUGCAAUAGAUCUAGGUAUUAUCAUCUUUGGUAUGCAAUCCAUAAGUAGCUCUUAUAAUAGAUUCAUAAGGUAAUUUUAUUUUCUUUAUAGGAAAGUGAUGUGUGCCUUUCCUUAACGGAAAUUGAAAUCUAAUAUUCCCUUCUUCCAUAUCAAUUAUUGCACCAAUCGUUCUAAGGAAAGGUCUACCAAGAUUAAUAGGACAUGUUGGAUUGCAAUCUGUAUGAAGAACUAUCAAAUCUAUGGGUGCAUAAUUCCUAUUUGCAACAAUAAGAACAUCAUUAAUCCUUCCUGUAGGUUUCUUAAUUGUAGAAUCCGCUAGAUGCAAAUUUAAAGAGCAAUCAUCAAAUUCACGGAAUCCUAGCAUGUCACAUAAAGUUUUUGGAAUCGUGGAAACGCUAGCAGCCAAAUCACACAAAGCAUGGCACUCAGAAUCUUUAAUUUUAAUCCUAAUAGUAAGUUCCCACUCAUCAUAAAGCUUAAUAGGUAUAGAAACUUCCAACUCAAGUUUUUCUUCAAAAGAUUUCAUCAUAGCAUCCACAAUAUGUUUAGUAAAAGUUUUAUUUUGAUUAUAAUUAUGCGGAGAAUUCAACAUGGAUUGCAAUGAGGAAACACAAUCAAUCAAAGAACAACUAUCAUAAUUAAAGUCCUUGAAAUCCAAAAGAGUGGGUUCAUUGCUAUUUAAAGUUUUGACCUCUUCAAUCCCACUUUUAUCAAUCUUAGCAUUAAGAUCUAUAAACUCUGAAUCGUUGGGAUGCCUUUUAACUAAAGUUGACUCAUCUCCAGUACCAUCUUUUUCAAGAUUUAUACUAGAAAACAAAGGUUCAAUAGGAUUCAGAUCAAUCACUUUAAUAUCUUCAUCAUUAUUAUCACAAGAAAACACAUUUUCAAGCCAUUCACGCUUAGCGCGUAUUCUAGCAGUUCUUUCCUUACACUCAUCAAUAGAAAUUCUCAUAGCUUUUAAAGACUCAUUAAUAUCAAGCUUGGGUGGAAUAGAUCUAAUUUUCAAAAAAUGAAACUCAAGAGAAAUUCUAUCAACGUUCCUAACCAAAUCAUCAAUCUUGAGCAAUUUUUCUUCAAUCAUAGCAUUGAAACCUUUUUGAGAGCUAAUGAAUUCUUUAUAUUAUUCUCAAGAUCAGAGGGCAUCUUAUUAUAAUUUCUAUAAGAAUUGUUGUAGGAAUUACCAUAAUUGUUAGAGCAAUUACUAGGAAAUGACCUAGGAUUGAAAUACCAAUAUACGCGUUAUUGCUAAAAUUAUUCCUACCAACAAAAUUCACAUCCAUAGAUUCGUUAUUAUUUCCAAACAAAGAAGACAAAGGAAUAUCAUUGGGAUCAAUAGGAUCAUUCUUACUAGCAAACAAUUUCAUCAAUUCAUUCAUCUUUCCACUCAAAGUAUUUAUUUCUUCAAUAGUGUGCACUUUUUUACUAGUAGGAGAUCUUUCGGUAUACCAUUGAGAGUAAUUUGCCAUAAUGUUAUCUAGGAGUUUAGUAGCUUCUCCUAAUGCGAUUUCCAUAAAAGUACCAUCCGCGGAGGAAUCUAAAACAUUUCUAGAAGGAAAAUUUAGUCCCGCAUAAAUAAAUUGUAUAAUCAUCCAUAAACUCAAACCAUGCGCGGGGCAUUUCCUAAUCAUUAGUUUCGUCCUCUCCCAAGAUUGUGCAACAUGAUCAUGAUAAAGUUGCUGAAAAUUCAUUAUAUCGUUCCUAAGGGAGAUAAUCUUAGUGGGCGGAAAGUACUUGGAAAUAAAAGCAUCUUUACACUUAUUCCACGAAUAAAUACUAUUUUUAUGUACAGAUGAAAACCAAGUUUUAGCACGAUCUCGUAGUGAGAAAGGAAAUAGCUUCAAGUUAACAAUUUCAUUAUCCACAUCUUUAUUCUUUCGCAUAUCACAUAACUCAAUGAAAGUAUUUAUAUGGGAUGUCGUAUCUUCACUAGGAAGGCCAGAAAAGUGUUGUUUCAUAACAAGAUUGAGCAAAGAGGCAUCAAUUUCACAAGAUUCUGCACUAGUGAUGGGAGCAAUCGGAGUACUAAUAAAAUCAUUAUUAUUAGUAGUGGAAAAAUCACAUAACUUGGUAUUCUCUUGAGCCAUUGUGACAAAGCAAGCAAUCUAGCACACAAGCAAUCAAACGAAAAGACGAAUGAAAAAAGGCGAAUAGAAAGGGAAAUCUUUUUGGUAUUUUCUGAAAAUCGUUUUAGAAGUGGGGGAGAGGAAAACAAGAGGCAAAUGGAAAAUAAAGUAAAUGCAAGAUAUGAGUUUAUGAUGGGUACUUGGUAGGAUUGAUCUUGCUAUGUAUCCUCCCCGGCAACGGCGCCAUAAAUCCUUCUUGCUACUUCAUGAGCUUGCGUUUGUUUUCCCUUGAAGAGGAAAGGGUGAUGGAGCAAAGUAGAUAAGUAUUUCCCUCAGUUUGUUGAGAACCAAGGUAUCAAUCCAGUAGGAGGAACAAGCAAGGCCCCAAUCGUAGUACUUACACAAACAAUCAAACACUUGCAACCAACGCUAAAAAGGGGUUGUCAAUCCCUUCACAGUUAUUUGCAAGGAUGAGAUCUGAUAGAGAUAGAUAUAAAAGAUUGAUAGAUCUAAAAGUUAAAAAAAUGUAAAUAUAUAGAAACAAUAUAUUUAUGGUAUUUUUGGUUUAUAGAUCUGAAAGUAUAAUAUGGAAAUAGACCCGAGGGCCAUAGGUUUCACUAGAGGCUUCUCUCAUAAAGGAACAUAACAUGGUGGGUGAAAAAAUUACUGAUGAGCAAUUGAUAGUGAUGGGGUUAUAGUCCUAGGGUAGGGUCAUAGGCCUGCCCUAAAGGUCCAACCCAAGGACUACCCCUCACAAGGGACAAGGCCCUUAGUCAGUUCCGACUGAACGAAGGAGUUCCAUUCAUCCAGUCGGUAACAGAUCCUCGACCGUCCAGUCGGAGAUUAGCAUUCGGAGUUUAUCAAACUAACCGACUGGAUUCCACUCUGCGCAUCGUAACCCCCUGGAGGGAAACGGUCAUACAUUUCCAUAUGCCUUAAUUAGCAUUUAGGACGUACGUUACCUGUAACGUAGACAUUUAUUCGCCACUACUCCACCCCUGUGCACUGAACCGUUGUGGAGGGCAGCGCACUCUAUAUAAGCCACCCUCCCCUUCUGGUGCAGGGGUUAGAAAUUCACUGUAUUUGAUAUUCCACUCGACAACAAGCUCCCUGAGCACUGAGACGUAGGGCUAUUACCUCCACUGUAGAGCGGCCUAAACUCAUACAAUCUCGCCGUAGCUAAGGCUCUGCCCAUUCCUUUCGUACCCUACUCAUCUAUUGUCAGGCUUAUACCCACGACAGUUGGCGCCCACCGUGGGGCAGGCGUCUAAGCGACUUCCGGCGAGUUUGCGACUACAUCACUUCGUCAUGUCGUCUGGUGGAGAUUCGAGCAUGGGUCACGAGAUCCUCUACGGCGCUCUCUCCUUCAUCGUCGACGAUUCGGUAUGGCUUCGGGACGCCCCUCUCGACGUCGAGGCGCUUCCCCGUCGCGGGGCUACGCCCUUCCGUGCCGGCGCCCGCGACAUUCUUCUUCUCCAGCAGUCGGCUCCGGUGUCGACCUACACCGCCGUCACGCGCCGCAACAAGCAGUCCCGUCGUCCGCGGCUCCAGCAUUGGGUGCAACACGCCCAGGCGCGCCACUACGCGUCUUCACAAGUGGCAGUUCUAGAGUCAGUUGUGGUUGCCCCGCCGUCCCAGCGCUCGGGCUGGGUUCCGACUGAGUUUCCUUCCGAGUACGCGGGUCGCAGGCCUGCAGCAGAAGUACACAUGGCCAAUUCCCAUGAAGAUCCCCGUCAAGCUGGCCGGAACGAGCACGAGAUCGGCGAAACGUCCGGCGCGCGUUGUCCGCCUCGCCGUUCUGCCAGUCGGCACACUCGGCGGAGCAACGUGGAGCUAUUCCGCACACCCCUCCUCAACUUGGCCGCGGCUGCCAAGAUAGCCGAUUCCCUUCAGCCGACUGAUUCAGAGGCUGGCAGGGGAAUCGAGUAAAUCCACGCCCUGUUGCACACGGUGCAGCAGCUAAAUUCGGCGGUCUCCCAGUCGCACAACAGGAUCUGCAAUAGUUCUGUUCAUGCGAAUACGCAUCGGUCAGUUCAUAGCCCUGGUUCUCAUCAGCGACACAGAGGAGGCAGUCGUUCCAUAAAUCCCGAAGAUCGUCGCCGUUCACGCACCCCUCCGCGGGGUGGGCCCUAUGGGCCCCGACAUCCUGAUGAUCGGCGUUCAGUCGGCGGCACUUACGACCCAAGGCCCGACGCGAGAGGGCAUAUCGCCCAGCGGAGGGUCGACAGGGGCCGAGCCCACCGCGAUGGUUACGAUAUUGACCAUCCGAGUGGAAGCAGGGCCAUCGUUUCUGGUCCCGAGUGUUUCAGUCGAGCCAUCCGUUCGGCUGACAUCCCUCCCAACUUCCGAUUGGCGACGGGAAUUAGCAAGUUUAUAAGAGAGUCCAAGCCAGAAACGUGGCUGGAUGAUUACCGAGUAGCAGUCCAGAUCGGAGGAGGAGACGACCAUGUCGCCAUGAAGCACCUCCCCCUGAUACUCGACGGCUCGGCGCGAGCGUGGCUGAACGAGUUGGCCCGCUCAAGCAUCUACAGCUUGGCAGAUCUGGCCCGAGUGUUCAUCAGGACCUUCGAAGGGAUGUGCAAGCGCCCUGCUGGCGUCAUGGAGCUCCAGCACUGCGUCCAGAAGUAGAAUGAGCCCCUGCGUGAUUUCAUUCAGCGCUGGACAACUCUCUACCACACGGUGGAGAACGUCACGGAGCAUCAAGCAGUCUGCGCCUUCAAGACAGGCGUGCGGUACAGGGAUCUGUACCUGAAGUUCGACCGAACAGGCGACAUCUCCAUGAGCAAGAUGAUGGAGAUAGCAACACGCUAUGCAAAUGGCGAAGAAGAGGACCGCAUCCGAAGCGGCAAGCACAAAACAGUCGCCGAUGGAGAUGGGGGCAACACUCGGAAGCAGAAGCAGAAAGCUCCGUCUACUCCGCAGGCAGAAGCUGCAGCCGUAACCAAUGCCAAGUUCAAGGGCAAAGGGAAGGCUCAGUUCACCCCUAAGAAGAAACAGUUCAAUAACCCCAUCCUGGAUCAGCCAUGUCCGGUUCAUACGAAGAUGGAUGAAGAGGGCAACCCCAUAUAUGCGAAGCAUACCACUCGACAGUGUCGCCUCCUAAUCCAAGGGUUCAGAGAAGGGUAACCGAGUGAGAAGGACAAUGAACAGGAUGAGGAGGAUAAGGAGGAUCCGUUCCCCCAAGUCCAUGCAACACUCAUGAUUUUCGCUGACGUCGAGGGCAAGAGUCGACUGAAGCUGGUGAACAGGGAGGUGAACAUGGCCACCCCUACCAACCCCAAGUUCCUCAAAUGGUCCCAGACUGCGAUCACCUUUGACCAGUCAGAUCAUCCAGCACAUGUACCCACCCCAGGGAGACAGGCUCUAGUCGUCGACCCAGUGGUGGAAGGAGUCCGACUGCGCAAAGUCCUCAUGGACGGUGGCAGUGGCUUGAACAUCAUGUAUGCCGACACUCUCAAGGGGAUGGGCAUUCCGAUGUCCAAACUCAGCGAGAGCAGAAUGCAGUUCUAUGGAGUCGUCCCUGGACGAAAGGCCAAGUCACUCGGCCAGAUCGCGUUGGACGUCGUUUUUAGCUCCGACAAGAACUUCCGCAAGGAAAAGCUGACGUUCGAAGUGGUCGACUUCCAGAGCGCUUACCACAUGAUUCUGGGCCGCCCAGCGUAUGCACGUUUCAUGGCCCGUCCAUGUUACGUAUACCUGAAGCUGAAGAUGCCGGGCCCGAAGGGCGUGAUUACCAUCACAGGCAAUCGGCAGCGGGCCGAAGAAUGUCUGCAGCAGGGAUCAAGAAUCGCCGACCAGCAGAUGGCCGUCCUCGAGCUUGACGAGUACAAGAAAACAGUCGACCCCGCAGACUUGAUGCGUUCGAAGAAGCCAGCUUCGGAGUCUGCAUUCCAGUCGGCGGGAGAGACGAAGAAGGUCAGCAUCCACCCGACGGACGCCACUGCUGCCCUGACGAACAUCUCCACCACCCUCGAUCCUAAAUAGGAAGCCGAGCUCACCCAAUUCCUCCAUGAGAACUGGGACAUCUUCGCAUGGAAACCCUCUGACAUGCCAGGUGUACCCAGGGAGUUGGCUGAGCACCGACCGCAUGUGGAUCCCACCGCUCGGCCUGUCCGAGAACGCCUGCGUUGUUCCGCCGCGCAUAAGAGGAAGGCAAUCGGAGAAGAGGUGGCCAAGCUGUUGGCAGCCAACUUCAUUCGCGAGGUUCACCACCCCGAGUGGCUCGCCAAUGCUGUCAUGGUGCCCAAGAAGGACAAGUCGCGCCGAAUGUGCAUCGACUUCAAGCACCUCAAUAAGGUCUGCCCGAAAGACCAUUUUCCGCUCCCGCGCAUCUAUCAAAUCGUCGCUUCGACAGCGGGUUGCGAGCGUCUGUCAUUUCUAGAUGCCUAUUCGGGCUAUCAUCAGAUCCGUCUGUAUGGCCCCGAUGAAUUAAAAACAGCCUUCAUCACCCCAUUCGGGUGCUUCUGCUACAUCACUAUGCCAUUCGGUAUGAAGAAUGCAGGAGCUACCUUUAUGCGCAUGAUCCAAAAAUGUCUCCUCGACCAGAUCGGCCGGAAUGUGGAGGCGUAUAUGGAUGAUAUCGUAGUCAAGUCACGCAAAGGUUCCGACCUGCUGACUGACUUGGCAGAAAAGUUCGCCAACCUUCAUAGGGACGAUAUCAAGCUUAACACCGCCAAAUGUUCAUUCGGUGUUCCCAGCGGGAAGUUACUUAGUUUCUUCGUUUCUGAACGAGGGAUCGAUGUCAACCCCGAAAAGAUCGGGACCAUCGUCCGAACGGAGAGGCCGGUCAGAAUACACGAUGUUCAUCGUCUCACAGGUUGCCUAGCGGCUUUCAGCAGGUUCAUCAGUCGACUCGGCGAGAAAGCACUUCCUCUGUACCGACUCAUGAAGAAAUUAGAUACUUUCGAGUGGACAGACGAAGCCCAAGUCGCAUUCGACGACCUCAAAGUCCUACUUUCCACCCAGCCGGUUCUUACUGCUCCGCUCAGUAAAGGGCCCCUUCUUCUGUAUAUCGUGGCUACAAAUCAAGUCGUCAUCACUGUUCUUACAGUCGAACGAGAAGAAGAAGGCAAAGCAAAAAAAUUCAGCGGCCAGUGUAUUACGUCACCGAAGUCCUGACUCCUUCCAAGCAGAGGUAUCCCCACUAUCAAAAACUCAUCUAUGGGAUUUACAUGACUGCGAAGAAGGUAGCCCAUUAUUUCCAAGACCACUCGGUGUCUGUCGUUUCUGAUGCUCCGUUGUCGGAAAUGCUCCACAAUCGAGACGCAUCAGGCCGAGUGGCGAAGUGGGCAAAGGAGAUGUUGUACUCCGAUAUCAAGUUCGAGGCCAAGAAAGCUAUUAAGUCUCAAGCUCUGGCUGACUUUAUAGCAGAAUGGGUAGAACAACAGCAACCAACCCACAUCUACUCGGCUCAUUGGACAAUGUUCUUCGAUGUGUCCAAGAUGUUGAAUGGCUCUGGCGCUGGCGUUGUGAUCGUAUCGCCAAAGGGCGACAAACUCAAAUAUGUGUUGCAGAUACACUUUGAUUCCUCCAACAAUGAGGCGGAGUAUGAAGCUCUCCUUUAUGGACUGCGUAUGGCCAUCGCACUCGGCGUCCGUCGCCUGAUGGUCUAUGGCAAUUCAGACUUGGUGGUUAAUCAAGUGAUGAAAGAGUGGGACGUCAGGAACCCCACCAUGACCACAUACUGCAAUGCAGUGAGGAAGCUUGAGAAGAAGUUUGAAGGUCUAGAACUCCACCAUGUUCUGCGACUGAAGAACCAAGCAGCUGACGAGUUGGCAAAACUCGGAUCCACACGGAGACCAGUCCCGAGUGACGUCUGCCUCGAGCACCUCCACCUUCCCUCAGUCAAAGAANNNNNNNNNNNNNNNNNNNNNNNNNNNNNNNNNNNNNNNNNNNNNNNNNNNNNNNNNNNNNNNNNNNNNNNNNNNNNNNNNNNNNNNNNNNNNNNNNNNNGGGGUUGCGCGCGGUCACCGUGAACUCGAUGCGGGAGGUGACGGAGUCGGAGUCCGAGACGUUCAGCGCCGCCAGACGGAGCGACGUCACGGCGAAGGUCGGAAGCUCCCGGGUGGUAAAUCACGUAGAACACCCCCAACGCGAUUGCUCCAAGGAACACCAGCCCCACCAACACCAGCGUCAGCCACAGGCAACACGCGCAGCACCACCCGCGCCCGCUCCUCCGGCGGCGCGGUGGCUGUUGCAUCGGCUUCGGCCGGUACAUCGGCGGGGGCGGGACGCGGCCGGGCACCAUGGGCGGAGGCCGAGGUGGCCCUACGCCGCCGCCGUUCGCCGUGCCGUUGGCGGACCGCGGCGCCGCCACAGGGACAGGCUUGGAGGCCGGCGCGUACGCCCGGUCGCCCAUUUCUUGGCCUCUGCUGCUUCUUCUGGGCUUGGGGAAGGAGAAGGCUUGGGGAAGGAGAAGGGGGGAGUAAAAGAGACUGGGGGGAGAAACGCGAAGAAGACGGGCGCAAUAAGUGGCCGCAUUUAUAUAUACACUGUAUAUAUUGUGCUAGUGCUAGUACUGCGUGUUUGCUUGCUCGUGUCGUGUGGGCGUUUAGGCAUGGGAAACGCUUCUCACCAGAAGUCUGGUGCGUAGCAUUCGUCGGACCAGUUGUCGACUGUCGAUUCUUCUUUGAUCUCACGGUCGAGAGAAGCAAGCAAAACCAGUAUUUUUAUGCUCCAAAAGAACCCGAUUUUCAUGCCCAUGAUCCCGUGAUCUCUCCUUAUCCGGUUAUCCCGUAUUAAUUGGCCCAAACAAAUCAACCCAGUGCCCAUCUCUCUGCUCGUUCCCUGCUCUCGCCGCCCUGGCUCUCUCCUCAUCCAGUAUCGCGUCUAACCUCUCUGCGGCGCCUCCGCUCAACCAAACCGGUGUGUCGUCCCGU